GUCAUAUUUUAGGAGGGAAAUGGGGCUCCCACCGCACAUGUUCACUUGUAUGACUUGUAUUUUGUUUCCAGAGAGGGAGAUGAAACUCAUAUCCAGUUCUUUUGGUUGAAGGAAAGAAGAAAAAAGGCAAGAACGUCAGGACACAAUGUCGGUGAGUUGCAUAAAGAGCCUGUGCGGUGAAGUUGUUUUGCCAAAUCUAAACUCCUGUCUGCAUCCCUUGCUGCUGUCAUGCAUCAGUUACCAAGGUCGAUAAAUCUGUGGCAAAGCAAAGAAGAAAGAGCAGAGAGGGAGCAGAUGAGAGAACUCAUCAUCUGAUGACAAAGUAAUAAAAUCAGGUUAGGGAAAACUGUCAGAAAAGUAAUAAAGUAAUAAAGAUGAUAAACAGUUCACAGCGGCUGUUUGGGCCUCCCUCACUCCGAUGCAUGGAGGGGGUGGAAGCAGAUGCUGGAAGGGCAAGGGAAGGAGAAUUAGUCUGUGUGUGUGUGAGCGCUGUUACGUGUGUGUGUACACUGUUACAUAUGUGCUUGCGUGUGUUUUUGUGAGUGUUUGGGUCAGCUGGUUCACACUCCUCAGUGUGUUUCCCCCUGCUGCCCACACAAAACAACCAGAGGAGUCCUCGUCUGAUGAAACUCCAACGCUCUGCCAGGCAGAGAGAAACAAAGGCUCUCCCUUUACCUACGCAGCCACAACGCCCCUGUUCACACACACACAUACACACACACACACACACACAGCGGAAGCUUUGGUAGAUAUUUAAUCAUGCCCUAAUUUGCCACAAGGAAGAGAUGAAGAAGUAGGGGAGCCAAAAACUGAGAGAGGAGGUGGAAGAAAGAAAAGGAGAGGAGCUGGAGGAGUCAAAAUAAGAGGGAGUGAAGAAAUAGAGAUGUUUUACAGUAGAGAGUGAGGAGAAGAAGGCAGGAUGAGAAAAUAAAGAGAUGGAGAAGGUGGGAAGGAAGGGUGAGGGUGAGAGAAAAAUAGAAAAUACAGAGCCCAAAAGAGAAUCCACACACCCACAUACAGUACGUGGGAGCUUUGUGCCGGUAUUUGUCAGCAUCUACUGCCAGGCAGAAAGACGGGAAGACAGACAGAGAGAUAGGCAGACAGGCAGACAGACAGACACUCAUGCUCUUCAGUCACACCUCUGCACCUACUGGGCCGCCCACACCAACUGGUGGUGCAAUCCCUUUGCAUUAGCAUACAGGUGUGUGCAGCCUUGUGUGCUCCCAUGAUGGGCGGAUCUAGAUUAGUGGCUGGAUGGUUACAGUUACCAAAGCCUGUGUGUUACAUAAUGUGGCAGCGGGGACAAGGAUGAGGAGGGGUGUGUGUAAUGACAGAAAAGGAGAGAGAGAGAGAGGAAGGGAGGGAGAGAGGACCUGAUUAUUUUGGAGCACGGAUGAGACUUUCACGCUUUUAUUUUGGCAAAAGGGAUGGGAUAAGAGUGGUGGACUCGAGGAUGAUAAAAGAUUAAAUUUAGCUGAGAUGUGUUUGGGGUCCUUACAGCACACGGGGUUGAUAAUUAAAUGGGGGAGGAGAGCAGGCCUGAUGGUCUCAGCUAGAGUGACAGGCUGAAUAUUAGCCCCACAGUCAUGCAGAGCCGUAGAGGAGAGCAGAGAACAUGAUAGGAGCGUAUUUGAUAAAUGUCAUUCUUCUCCCAGCUUUUAAAGGGACGCCUGCAGGAGUGUGUGGCCUGACCUUUUUACAAGUAGAGCAAGAUGUGCCUGGGAAAAGACAAACUGGCGUUAGAGGGAUAAAAUCUGUCGGAAACUGGCAUAGUGGAAGAGUUUGUGGAAAAAUCUUUGAACUAAUUGACACGCAUGAAAAGCCAAAUGGAUCUAAUGGGAUUUUGGAAACAAUCAUGCAUGAAGACAUCCAGAGCUGUACGUCUGUUUAAAUACUUGACACCUCUACUCAGAGGUCCACUCAUCAUAAACCUUGGCUAACUUAGUGAAAUCUAAUCCAUUACAGCACAAUGCAGAUUACAGAGCACCACCUGUUGCUGCACUGAAGCAGCCACACAUUUUUUUUUUUUCUGGAAAUGAGGCUGCCUCGUGUUAGCAGAUUAUGAGUGUACUGCGGGUCAGCUCAUGGGUUUUCUUUCACUCCUGGGAGCUCACCAAGUGAAGCUUUAGGCCUUAGAAGUGUUUGAAAAACAAUCUGUGACAAUCCCUGGUAACUGCAGGCAUCCCUCUCUGUCGUCCCACCCCUCAGGCUUCAGUAUAAGUGUAUCACACAGAAACAGGGCCCCAGCAUCAAAUAGCCGCUCUAUCUGCUCAUCCGCCUGUUGUCGUCUCCUCGGGGUGGUAGGUGACUGAGACACAAUUACCAAACAUGUCCCCCUGAGGACGUGUGACUCACUGAGCCCCCGGCCUGUUUGUUUGAUCCAUGUGACAAAAGAUCUGACCUCUGACCUUUCAGCUCCUGAUGAGUCACCGGUAGUGCGCUGAAAAGAGGGGCUUCCCCAAACCAUGCUGCAGCCACAGCACAGCAACGGGUAACAUUUAAAGGUUGCCACAAAACACUUUUCUGUUUGUCUGAGCUGUGUAGACCCGAGUCUGUGGGCGGCAUGACCCCGGCAUGCUGAUAGAACUGAUGUAUAAUAGGUCAGAUCUGCGGGUGACAUCUGAGCUAUCAUUUGUGGUUCAUUGUUUGUGGUUUAAGAAGUUAGUGUAUCGGCUCAUCAGGCCUAGUAAAGGAUUAUGACAAGUAUGAACACAGAAAAUUACCCUAAGCUUUUACUCAUUUUGAAUAUUGAAAUCUUCUGUUUUGGUUAGACAGCAGGUGGAGGUGAAAAUUAAAAUUUUUCAAAAUAAAAGCCAAAAUGAUGGUAGAAGUCUACCAGCAAAGACAGUCGGAAGUAUUGAACAUAAAAGCAACAGCUUAGAGUAAUGUCUAUGUCUAUGUUAUUUAUGUUUUAUCACCUUAAUGUAUCCAAGUGACUCAGGAGACGGUAAUCUGAGUAAAAUGCAGCAGCAGCAAUAUACUCCAUGAGGAGCAAAAAGUAGAUUUAUGUUUCUCACACUGGAUUAAAAUGUUAGCGAACAUAAAUUUAGGGAUAAAGUCAUUGUCUUUUUGACUAAAGUACCAAACUACCAAGUCUAGAAAGUUUAUGAAAUGUAAAAGAAUGCCUUUUGAAACAGAAAGCCAGAUUAUCUAAACUAAAUAUGGAAUUUAAGGUGACGAACAGUUUGCAUUUUGCUAGCUAGCUUUCUGCGAUAACAACAGUUUAACAGGAUGUAAGGACCUCUGGUGGUCAGUUUGGGUAACAGUAUUUUGGAAGGACAAAAACUAAAACUAUUUCACGUCAAAAGAGCCCCCUGUACAGUAUUGUUCCACACCUCCUCUUGUGUGCCACAGUAAUGCCAUAAGAACUACAGUUUGUGCUAAAAUUGAAGAUUUAGCUCAAAAGAUACUUAAUAGAUUAAAAAAGGGACUUAGUUACUCACUUUGAUACUUUUGGGAAUAUUUUCCUCAUAAUUUUACAAUAUUUUAUAAAUGUCAACAUGAGAAUCUUGUUACUUUCUCUGAAAAGGAACUUAAUAUUCAUGUGUGAACACUUAAACAGCCUCAUUAGCUUUGAGUUGAGGAGUGUAUUAGACACAGCUCAGAUCCAUUUUAAGUUUUCCUGAAAGCUAACUGGAUGUUGCAUGUUAGAUGCACAAGGAUAAAUCUUCUCAUUGGCUGAUUGCCUGGGCUGACUAACUAGCUGCUCCUCAUUCUGCUGACGUCCUCACAUGGACACAGAGGCAGACAGGAAGGAGCGCUGGAGGCACGAAGAUGUGGCCUCAGCGUCCAGACUGAGGAGCGGCUUGGUUUGUUGUCUUUAGCCAACACGUUUGGGUGUGAGUCAUGAGCAUACGUACGUGGAGCAGACAGAAAACAUCCAGACUCACAGACCUGUUUUUAUUCUACUACAGGCUUCAGAUUUUUUUUUUUUGUCAGGAAUUUAAACUUUGCUUUAGUCCGCAGUCAAAUGGAGCUCAGCCAGUCCACAUCUGUUUAUGUGGACGAGCGUGGGUUUAUUAUUGCAUCAGACAGUCACGCCAUCACCCUUGCUCACUCCUUGGACCUUGACGUUUAUUGAGAGAACUCUAAGAAAGGCUUGGCAGGUUUGGGUUUUUAUCUUUUUUUCUCUAUGGACCAAAAGCUAUAAAUACAAAACCAGAGCUACUGAAAUUUAGUAAAGAAAAGCUGAAAUCACCCUGCCUUUUCAAGGAUGACCUGUUUAAACCUGGUGUUAUACAAACAGGCAAGUUCUUGCUCACUCACACACGCACACACACACACACAAACAUUUAAGUUGUUCUCCAGAGUUUAUUUGAGUUUUGAGUCACAUCAGAAGUUGCCAAGACAAAUAGCCUCCUUGGGUCCAAUGGCUAAAGCUAUUCCCAAUAACUCGCUGUGAAGUGAAAAUGACAGUCUGAGCGGCACAUCCGCUCAGGUGAGAGUUAUUUGUUUUGUGGCGUUGCAGCUGAAGAAAAGUGACGCAGAGAGCGAGAGAGCGAGAGGCAGAGAGAUAAACGGGUGAGGAGAGAUACAGAGGAAGUGAUGGAGAAGCCGAGGCAGAAAGCGACAGAGAGACAGGAGAGAGAGAAAGCGGCUGUCGCUGAGUUGUUGACAGGUGGGCCUCAGGGCAGGUACGACAGGUUGAUUCACAUAAGCCCCUCUCCCUCCUCCCCUCUACCCCAGCUAGAGACUGCCGAUGUGGGAUAGCCUACAGGGCUGAGAAGACAGGUCUCCAUCAGAAAGCCCUGCAACACUUUUACAAUCAUACGAUAAUCGUUUAACUCCGAGUGCCAGACGUCAGCAGGCAUGACGGCUGAUGAGGCAGACACACAAAAACCACAAACAACACUAACACUCUUAGUAUGCUUCCAAGGAAAAAGGAAAAAAAGAGGAGGAGGGGAGGAUGAAUAAAUAAAUAACUGUCAGAAGCAUUUGGCUUAUGGGACAAUGGGUUUUUCAGGAGUUGAGACUUGGGGGCCAAAUGUCAGUUUGGGUCACUUGGACUGAAGAUUCAGCAUCAGGUUUUAAAAGCUCUGCAGCAGCCAGAUGAUGAAAUAAAGAUACUAUGAGGAGCUAUCAGUUUUAUGCCUUUUUUUGCAAACCCCUUGACAAAACUCUUUCUGUGCACAUGUGGCUACAAUUCUCUCACCAAAAAAUCUUCAAACUCUCUGUGAAUCCUUCCUGCUGAAUAUUUGCGUAAAGGACUCUUUGGGUUGCGAGCUUUUUAUGCUAACCUGGUGACAGCAGUGACAGACAUCAAAGAUGACUGUAGACAUUAUCGACUUCUCUGAUGAUGGUCUGGUUUGUUUUUAUAGGCCAUUUGGAAACAUCAGUGUUAGUCGUAUAGUUUAUUUCAUAUCUAGUUGAAAAAUCCUCGCUGAAGCUUUAUGUGAAGAGUAACUUGUGCUGGUAAAAGACUGCAGCUAAUUUUGAUGACGACAACCUCUGCGAUAGAUCACUCAGCAGUAGAGCUAAUUUUUUUUUUACUUUUGGAGGAAGUUCAGGAUGACUUUAGCUCUUCUUGUCCCAGGCAGUUAUGGCAUGUUCAACUGAAAAUGAAUGGUGGGGGUUUGUUUUCAGUGAUAUUAAUUCUGUUGUCAAGACUGUUUAUCUAUCACCGAGAGGAUGACUUUCCUGUAGAAGCAGCAUUAAGUGGAUGGUGAUCAAAUUUUUCAGCCCAAAGGUAACAGAGGGGAAUUCACUGCAAGCAGCCAAACUUCAGACCUGCCCACAUGUACAGCCAUUCUCACAACCACUCUUCUUUCCAAUCUUUUAUUCUAUUUAAAAAACUCCAUUUAUCAAACAACAUCUGUGCAUUGAUUUGAUUUAAUAGGCUCAACUAGAUAUAUGUUAUUAUGCCAUGGGAGCCUUGAGACUCAAUGGCAGUAUCCAUUAGCUCAAACACAAAAUAGUGGAACUGGGUCCUCAGUAAAACCAGGUUUUGAUCCCUACUCCUCACUACAGUGAUCACAUUGCAGAACAGAUUUUUUUAAAGCAGUAGAUUCUGGUUAUUAUAUCAACAGUCUGUUAUUUGAUAGCAGUCUGUUAAUAUGUUUCACAGAACAUUGCCGAGGAUGUGGUCCAGAUCACAGACUCUGGCAGAGUCUCUGAAAUCACAUCAAUGCACAGAAAGGAGUCCAGCUGAUUUGACAUCCAAGUAGGGCAGAUUUUCACAGAUCAUGAAUAACAUAUAGAAAAUGUAGAAAAAAAACAGAUAAAACAACACAAGCAUCACGCCAAGGAAAGGUGCAACAAGGGUGGAGCAGCAUAUUAUUUCCUGAACUUUACUGAUAAACACCAGUGACUGACAUGUAACCAUUUCAUAUGAUCUUCAAAUUUGUGAUUCAUCCACAUCACCAGCCCUGUGACUGAAACUUGUUUGGAGAGGUCAUUGCCUCAUUUUACCAUUGUUUAUCAUGCAUUUAUUUUAUUUUAUUUUUUUUUUUUUUCUGUCUGAUUUUUCUGAAAAAAUCCAUUAUCCACAUACUGUUAUAUUUGGAAAGCCUUACAUUUAAGUAAAUCUACAAAUGUGCUCAAGGACUGACAAAUGUAAAUAUCACAGACUCUGACACAGUGAGGCAGAAAAACUCAGUGGGUUGCCUCACUGAGGAAAAUUCAGUUUGAAGUGCAUGAAAACAGCUAGCUUUGCCUCUCUAAGAAGGUUGGGGGUUAGCUGUUACUACAGACACACCUUAAACUGAAAGUAUGACUGACUAUUUUCAAUAGAAACAAAUCUAACCAUUUUAAAUUUAUCAAAUUAUUUCAAAAUCAAUAUUGAGUUUAAAAAGUCUGAUUCAUGAAAAAGCAAGGAAGUAAGUGUAAAAAUGUUGAGUAAACAGAUUACUGCUUACAUCACCUUAUUGCAUGAGUCGUUUGUUAUUCUGAUAAUUCUGGUAUUAUAAUGUCUGAUUGUGUGCCUGUAUCUGUUGGCAUUAACUAUCUUUACAUAAAUCUCCUCAUUUCAAAUUCAGGAUAAAGAAUAAUAAGAUCUUUUAAAAAUGAAGGAAUGACUUUCACUUUUUGAAUCAGGCUAAAUCCGUAUCUUAUUCAUUACUCAGAAGUCCUUAAAAGUAAUGAGUAAUUUGCUGUUACUGAUUUAAAUUUAGAGAUUUAUCACAAAUUAGCAGGGUUAGAGUUGUGUCUCUCAAGCUCUUGAUGUGUGGACUUAAAAACGUCUGGGUGUGGAGGUUAAUGGUGCGACUGGAUUAAGGAGACUCGAUUCAUACAUAAUGCAGACGUUUACCUUAAUGGGAGAAACGUGACUGGGGAGCGGUGUUUACAUUAAAGGAGGGUGAGAGUUCAGCUGAGCUGGGGGAAUAUUUUUCUGCCUACGCUGGCGGCAGACACUGUAAUGAAUUUCUAUAAAGCGCGCAGCAAAUAAAAAUAAAGACACACAAAGGAGGUUGCAUGAUGAUUGUUGACGGGUGAUGCUGACAAGGAGAAAUUAGAAGGAUGGAGUUGAGACUUGCACUAGUGUACAGUCUGUAAAAGACAUUAAGUAGCCUUGGACGACCCCAAAUAAGAGAGAGAGAGAGAGAGAAAAAAACAUCCUUUUCUUCCUUUUAGCUGCUUGAAUGAAGAUUAUAGAACAAAAACCCAAUUAAAUCUGUGAUUAAAACACAUGUUUGAGAAAGAGUGACCACACAGGAAGUCAGAUUUUUUCCUAUCACCCUCCUUGCACAAGAAUUCAUGCACAGGUUUCUACAAGGACACAAACCUGUGCGUUCUUUAUUUGUGUUUGUCUUACAAUCCAAACACACUGCACGUGGCUUGGCAAACACUUACACCCACACACACACACACACACACACACACACAAACUGUCGAGUCUAAGGGCCGAUGUGUCUGCAUGUAUCCACAAGUGUGCUGACUGCACACACCCUGCAUAUAGCCUGACGAUGUCUCGGCCACAAUACACCGCACAAUUAAAAUAAAUCUCCUCAAAGGCCACAUGCUGUUGCAUUUUCUAACAGCCCAACAGGGGAACAACUCCAUGGCAACACUGGAGAAAUGUUUACAUGUGAGAAUAUUUGGAUAUGCACUGUUGGAAACAUAAACAGUGUUAGUGUAAUAAUUUAGUGAGGAACAUGAUUUCUCUGCAUCGGGUUAAAGAUAGAAAGAAAAGAAAAUACUGUGUGUUAGAAAGUCAUGAACUUCAUUCUUCACGCAGUAGGAUUGUGACAAUGUGUGUUCUCAUUACGAGCAUACAGACAGCCCUCCGUGGGUCUCACUCUCUGAGCCCCUCUCCUCCUUCCUCCCCAUCUAUCUCUGCAUUCCCAGACAGCUUUAGCAGUUCAAACCCUCGCACUGCGGCAUUGUCACACACCACACUGGUUGCCAUGGAGAAAUAGUCCUCCUGGUCUCCAAGGUACCCGAGUCUAUUGUCUUUGGCUUCUUUAUUUAGAUGAAAACAUGAUUUGUUGGAAGGGAUCUACUUGUUUUUUUCACCGCUUCUCUUUCUUCUUCUUCUUCUUCCUCCUCACAAGCAUCAAUGCGACAUCGCAUGAUGUGUAUUGUUUCAUUCUUUUCCUUUCCAGGAGUUUGACUUUACGCGCAUGUGUGCGUUGAGCUCGCCUGAUGUUUUGUAGCAAUUAAUUUCAGUGUGUCUGCAUGUCAGCGCCCCAGGAGGGGGGCUGCAUAAAAGUUUUCCCCCAUUGCCACAGCUCUCGCCAGGGCUUAUAAUUGCCUUCUAUUACCAGGGCUGGGUGUCACAGCCUGUCUGUCACCACCAGGCUCUCAACUAGCAGCAGAUGAUGAGGAAAAGGAGUCACAACUUGCUCUUUUUUGGCAGAGGAAAUAAUACAGGUAAUGUAUUUUUAUAUGGAUUCAGUAUUUUAGUGCUCCAGCUAUGUGGCCACACUUGUGAUAUUUACUUUUCAGUGAAUUAUUCACCUGGGUUGUUGAAAAAGUUGAUUUAUAGACAGCUAAAAUAGGAUGAUGUGCUAACAAACAACAAGCUUAAGCCGAGCCACAAACCAAACAAGGAAGAAUAAGUGUUCAAUGGCUUUAGCGUGGCUUCAAACAGCAGCUGCCGGGCCUACUAAACACUCACAAUCAUCGCGCUCUGACCUUUGACUUUGUUUAUUUGCAUGUUUCCAGCUCCACUCACAGCUGUCAGCAAGCUGUAGCCUCUAUAGCUGCCGGUAGCGCCACAUGAAAAACCAAACAGGAAGUGACAUCACAUCCGUUGCUCCGUGAUAUCACAGGGCUGAGUCGGAGAAAACGACAGAGUGAAAGGAAGAACAAAAAAGACAGAGUGAGAGAGAGAGAGAGAGAGAGAGAGAGGGGAGCAGGCUGCUGGGUGGAAAGAGGAAGCUGUGUGUGUUUCGUUCUUGCUCAGAGACUGCGGCUCAGAUGUCCCAGACUCUGUGGUUGUGUUUAAGUCCAGCCAGACAAAUAAAGUGAUCCAAUUAAAGUCACUUAUCUGCUUAAUCAGAGGGGCUACAAACACACAGUCUUCAUCUACCACUGUAUCCUCAGAUGACCGUCUAAAAUAACCCCAUAAAGAGUGUUUUUGGAGGCUUUAUAAUCAGACAAAUAAAUAUUUUGGGUCUACUUUGCUGCCAGCAGCUUUUGCAGGACAUCAGUUGUUUGUUUUUUUCUCCUUCUUUUUCUCCUCUCCUCUCAAGUCAUUCACUUGUAUUCUGCUAAAAUUGCUCCAAUGUUAAAAGUAAAAAACAUUUUACUUCAUUGUUUAAGAGACAACGUAUGGAAAUAAAUCAUAUGAUACUAAGAGAAGCCAUGUAAAGGCCUUUAAAGAGUUGUAUUUAACCAUUAAACUUAAUCUGCUUUCAAAGUUGUAUGACCUGUUAGUUCACAGAGAUACACUGACAGUUGUGGGGUUUUUUUCUAACGCAUGGUGAUGCAAACGUGGAAGGAGAGGUUUCGGAAACUGUGACGCUUUGCUUUGUCAGCGUAGGGUGCAAAGCAGGGUGAGUUACUGUUGUGUGCUUCUAUGGCAGAAGCAUGCAGCAGCUUGUUCCUCUGGCAAGCGGGCCAAGCGUUGAAUAGAGUGGGUGCAGGUAAACAUGCUAAAACAGGCCUACUCGGUAAUUGUUCUGCCUUGUUGACAUGUUUCACAUUCGCACACCUACUUUUUUUCAAUGUGUUUCAUCACAUCUCAGACUUUUUGAGUUGGAGAACCGGUGCUGCUUUUUUUUGUUGUACACUUAGAAUGAAAAUCAACCAAAUCUUAUGUAUAUCUAUAUCUCUUAGUUUAACAUGUAUGAUCUCAGACAGGGGAAAAAAUAAUCCACCUUAAUGAUAUAAGUCAAAGUAUAUCUUUUCCAAAGGGGUUUCUGAAUUGAUGUGCCCCUGAGCUUAAGUGUUUCGUCACUUAUUACCCAACGUUUGUUGUUGCAAUGAUGAUGAUGAUAGAGAGGAUGAUGGUAUUCUGACUGGGCUUGGCCAGAGCCACAAAUAGGCACAAAAUGUUUAGAGAGCGUCUUCAUUUCUCAUUUUCAGAAGUAGGAACUAGAGAAAAUGAGUCAGAGCAGAUGUGUGAGAUGAGCUGCUGAGACAGCACACACUAACUCCAGAUCAACUAAUGGUUUAAUAUGGAGAUGAAGCCUACAGGGAGGAAUGGAAACAAAAUCCAACGGUUUUCAGAGGAAGGGCGGUGCUGAAAACACACACACACACACACACACACACACACACACACACACACACACACACACACUGCAUGCACGCGCACACACUCACACACUCAAAAAAUGUCCGAAGGAGAAAACCUGCUGGAAACAGGACAAAUAAACCAGCGGUUGUGUUGUAUGGGCUGUUGGGAAUCGCACAAACACACACAAACCUGUAUCACGGUACAAAAGCCAGUGGGGAUAGGGGAAGCGGGUGGGAGAGAGGCGGGGGAGAAAGAUGGGAGAAGUGUGGGAGAGAGGCAGUAGGGAGGGGAGAGGAGGUCUGGAGCGUGUCCAGGGGAACUCCAGACUGCUGUUACCCAACAUGCUCUCUGUCUACGGGGGCUGGGAGCCUGAAUACUGCUGCCGGAGAGUCACAGAACAUGGAGAGAAGGGGGGGCACACACACUUGGAUUACUGUUCGCCCCUUGACACUCACACAAGCACUGCCGUCCUUGUGUCGCCAUAGUAACACACUGACCCUGGCCCCAAAGUUGCACUGCCUGGUCUGAUCUCCUGCCAAGCUCUAAGUUGUGGGGUUGGACUAAAUCUGCCUAUUUAUAGCAGACCCUUUGGCUGGUUUUCUACUAGUGACAAUAAGAGCUAAUCUGCUUUCUCCAAAGCUCCACCACACCUACCUUACAUCAGCCCCACUGUAGAUUAGCAAAGGGACACAGACAGGGUGAUAGAGAGAGAGAGAAAGAGAGAGAGAGAGCGCGAGAGAUGUGAAAGAAGAGGGGUGAGUUGGAGACAGGAAGUGACAAGAAAAAAAGACAGAAGACAAUGAAAGAGAAACUAACAGUGUAAAGCUUUUCUAUUUUGAGACAGCUGCACUGUGGGUUUAUUUUUUUCACGUGUCUCAUGAUUAUUUCUCAUUAUUUAAUCACAACUAUAAUUACAGUGGUAUGUCCAGAGGAUUUGACAGGGGUGGCUUGGGCCCUCCUUGAAAUCUGGUGUCGGUGCCACCUCAUAUUUUAAACACUGAUUCGCAAUUUGCCAUGUUAGAGGAGGAAAACAUGUUGAAGGCAUCUAUUCUAAAAACCUUUUUUUUUUCUACAAAACCCUUUUUUUUUUUUUUGAAUUGGAUUAAAAACAUUUUCUAUUUUUGGUGCUCUAAGGGACUGUGUCCACUAAAGCUGUUCUUUAACAUUGGCAGCCCCUAUUUUCUGUUCAAACCAAAUGCAAUUCAGCAUUUCAGCACUCAGCAUCCACAGUGCAAAAACACCCCUAUCAGCUAAUAGUAGCUGCUGUGUUCUCAGCACUCUUGGUCGAAAAUAGAUCAAUUUUUGGAACACUGCUGCACUCGGUAAUGUCACUUCUUGAUCACUGACCAAACCAUCAAGACAGGGUGGGGCCGCUGAUAUUUACUUUGUAAGCAAAAUGGUGGCGGCCCAUACCAAAAAGGAGAAAAUAACACCUUUUUUUAGGGACAAACCUCAGGUUGAGAGUUGCUAACGCUAGGACAUACUGUCUGUCAAUUGUCCUUUUUAUGUGAUUCAACGAAAGCAAGUAUAAAGCAUAUAGAGACUUUUAAAUCAUAAUUAAUGUUUGCUACUAUUUGUAACAAAGUGCCAUGGGAAAACAUACCUUACAUAAUGACAAUAAGUGUCAGAGAGAAGUUCUCUGUAAUUGAAGUAGUGGGCACUGUCAGCGCUAAACACAGUGUUGGUGGACACAGGCCCUAAACACUGGAAAAAUCUACAAAUGUAUUUCACAAAACAGAAGUGAGAAAUCAGUUCAUGAAAAAAUGAAAGCAAAAGUGUCUAUGGAAAAAAAAAAGGAGAAGUGUUGAAGAAUACGUAAAACUCUCUAUUGUUUUAUAUUUGUGGUAAAAAAAAAUGUAUGCAGCAAUAAAAUGUACACCAGGAUGAAACUGUAAUAUUAGUAAAAGUUGAUAUGACUUGCAGUGACAGAGAGGAUAAAUUAAUGAUAUAAUCAUUUGUGUGUGUGUGCACACUUUGUGCCACCCCCUGCUUGGGUUAGUGUCUGAGGUGGGUCCCCUCGGUUUAUAAAGUGUGGACACACCCCUGUUUGAUGAGACUUCUGAUUAGAUGGAGUUUGUGCUAUCUCAAACUAAUAUUGAUGUAAAGAUAAUCAAACUGAACUUUAUUUAAAUUUCAUGUGAGAGGCGAAAUUUUAAAGACAGGGUUUUAUAUGAUAGAAGAGCUAUUUCUGUAUAAUGAUACUAUUAUUCAUAAUUGUGUUAUUUUUAUUGAUCCUUUAUUGAGGGUUGAGAGCUGCAGUAAAAGGAAUUUUGUCUCUGUGAAAGAAUCAAUAAAGUUAUCCUUAUUUUGUGUUAUCUCAAAAUAAACACUGAAUCACUGUAAUGAGAAUCUAAAUAAGCCUAUACAGAAAAUCAUAAUAAAAAGUGCAUGUGUUAGUGUCAGACAGUGUAGAAAAACAUGAUGUUUCCUGUCUUAAGUGGUUUGGAGUAAAGGAAAUUGGGAAAUGUUGAAAGUAACUCUUAAAAAAAGCUCAUUCAAAUAUUUCUACCAAUCAGCAUAUGUGUAGCCACUGUGUAUGUGUGUGUCUAAAUGUGUGUAUGUGUCUGAACUUACACCCACAUGGACACAGACCAGACUUUGGCCAACAUGACUCUGCAGUGCCAGGGGUAAUUGUGCCGCUAUUGGCUUCUGCUGUCAGCCACACCGAGUUAGCGGAGCCAGUCACAAUGAGCUGAGCGUAACUUUAGCUGGAGUUAAACCCACUCCGGCUCUGGCUGCCUUCCAAGUCCACUGGCCUCAUCUCACCCCCCCAUCCCCAACCCCCCUGGCCUGCACUGACACAGUGCACACUGGCGAGCACAGAGGUUAGUUAAGCUGAGGCCUCGCAAAGCCUUUGAUAUGAAUAGAGAGGAGAUAAAGGCCUGAUAGUGAUACUGCCCAUCCUUUAUAAUACUAUAUACUAUAUUGAUCUGAAGGCAUGAAGGAAUGUCUCCUCUGUGUGGGACUGCUCUCGGGUGUCUAUGGUUUUCUCCUCAUUUCUUGUGUGUGUGUGCGUGCGUGCGUGCGUGUGUGUGUGUGUGUGUGUGUGGGGGGGGGUUAAAUAUUUCUUUUUCCACUCUUUUGCAUUUUCUAUUCAUUACUUAUUUUUCGUCAACUCUCGGAGGACAAAGUUUUCCUCCGUCUGUUUCUCAGUUCAUGAACCAUUCACAAUAUUCAAAUGGCUGAUCACAGUCUCCUAAUGUGCAUCAAAUGUGCCAACUGAUCUACAGGUGGAACAUUUGGCGUGGCAGAGGUUUCACUUCCUUAAAUUGAACUGCUGGUGGACUGUCAUGAACUCUGUGGUUUGCAUGUUUAUUUACAGCAUUUCUGCAGCACAAACAGAUGUUAUUAAUAGUUUUUUUUUUUCACUUGUCUUGGGCACAUUGCUAGCCAAAGGGCUAAUCCAAUAAAUUGAUCAAUCUGUGUUGAUACGAUGUGCUAGUCAGAUUGACACACAUGUUGGUGCCAAUUACUCUAUAUUCUGCCCAGACUAAUUCAUGGGAUCAUGAUGGGGGCUCAGCUUGAACAGCUAAAUGUCCUGGCUUGGCUAGCUCCUCUUGCUAAUUGGUUUGGGCUGCUUCCUUUGUGGCUGACUGCGUCACUCAGUAAACUUAACCUCAGCCCAGACAUAAGUAUAUUAACGUGGUUAAGUAUAAAUAGCUUUGAGUAGUCAAAUUAAACCUCUCUGUUUGUGGAAGUGAAUAUUUUGGGCACCUGUGAUCUUGUUUUCGCUGUUAAAUUUAGCUCUGUGGUCCUCAGUGGAAACAGUGACAGAGACCUGUCACACUUCCUGUGUACUGUGAGUAGUGAGAGAACCACAACCCUGUGACGCCACACUCGGAAAAAAGAGAAAGAGAGCAUCAGAGAGGCGUGGAAAGUCAGCAAUGAGGAAGUUGUGGUUUCAUUUGAGAAGGAAAAUUGUUGCCUGAACUGUAAGUGAAUACUACAAGUGAACUGUAAAGUUUCCUGUGCGGACUUUCCCCUUUAUGAUAACACGAUGGGCAAUGGUGAUAAGCCGGCUAACACAGCAAGCGCACUGCUGCUGCUAUUACUGCUAAUACUUUGACAAACUGUGGAGGUUUUUCUACGCUUUGUUGCACAGAAAGUUCUACAACUAAAUCAGUUUCAACAAGCAAACACACAUAUAUAGAUCCUCUGUUUUCUUUUUAUAUUCUCAGGCUCUCGUGCCUUUGUAGAUGCUCUCACUUCCCGUAGGCUAUUGUUUUUGGUGACCUCUGCUAAGCAUGCAGUGCACAGCAGCACACACAGCAUUUCCAGGAGCACACACACACACACACACACACACACACACACACACACACACACACACACACACACACACACACACACACACACACACAAAAAAAAGGACUUCAGCCUUUGCACUUUAGACACAAAUGUGCUGCAGUGUUGCCUGAUAAAAACAGAGCAGAGCAUUAAGAGACAGAUUUCAGAAAGUAAUCUGUUAUAUAAACUGCUUAUUUAUAUGAAUGAAUUUAUAAGGCAGCACUGAGUAAAUCUUGUGCAUUGUUAUGUGAUUAUAAUAUUUAUAACCACAAUCAUGAGCUGCUAGUCAGAGGAAGUGCAAAAUAAGUGCAUGUUAAAGAUAUUUUUGGUUCAUUUGUGUCAGUUACCCCGAAAAGCAUAAACGCACUCAUUUUUGUCAGUUUGUGUGGGAGUAGGAACACUGUAAUGUAAGAGCGCCAGAGAGUGUGUGUGUGUGUGCUUGUGUUUGUGUCUUUGAGUGUGACAUAAAGUGUUGGAAAGAGACAAAUUUAUAGUGUGAAUUUUCUCUCUCUGAAACAACACAGAAAGUCAUGAAUCAUCUGUGCUGCACAGACAUAACCACAGGAAGUACCCAUGAAACACACAAACAUACACACACACACACACAUGCACACAGAGCAAGAAUGCUAAAGCAUAACCAAAUACCUUCAGAUACUGGAAAUAGCACAUAAAAACAGCCCAUAAACUGUGAAUUUUUCAGAAGAUUGAAUUCACCGAGCCUGUUUCUUGGGAUUUCUCCUUAUUGAUUGAAAGUCUCAACAACAAGGAACAAGAUUUUUCUUUGAAACAGCCACCAAAUCUUUUGGAUCAAUAAACUUUGGUCGAGACCCCAUCACAGCAUCCCAGCCAUUUACUGCAAGAGACAAUGUUACCAUGGUGACCCCUACACACUGGGGGCAUGCGUAAGAAAGUGGAAGUCAUAAAGACCUGUGUGCGAGAGAAAGCCAGCGUUCAGCCUUGACCCCUCGCCGACUUCUCCGUCUUUGUGAACCUUGUUUGGUUCAGAGUGACUGAGCAGAAUAGUUGCUCAUUAUGUCUGUUGUAUGAGCACGGUCCACAGGGUGACAGCUAUAGUGAAAGAGUCCUCUCGCUGACCAGAAGGAUUACACACACACAAGAAUGAACACAGAGGAAAAAAAAACAUUAGGAGAGAAACUCAAGGUUAGGAGUAUUACAGACAUGUCGAUAGAAACACACAGCAGAGUCCAAAGAGUCAUCUUGUUACAGGCAGCAGUGGAAUUGAUCAAUAAGAAGCUGCUUUUAUACAAGAUUUGGGCUACAGUGAACUGGUCAGGAAACAGAGUGAAAUUAAUAUUGAUGUCUCUAUAUGAGCCACAGAAGCAAAAGAGACCAUCAGUGGCAGAAUCAAUCAUUUCUAUAGAGUUGUCUUAAAUGCCUACAACUGCUGGUAGACCAAGCAGCAAACUGCACAACGCAGAAACUGCCCUUUCUGAACAGUUUUUAAUAAUAAAAAUAAAAGUAAAAUUAUAUGUUUGACUUAUAAAGAGAGGAGGAUGAGAUAAUUUGUUUAAAGAAAAUUGUAAUUUUACCACGAACAGAAAAAAUCAGCAAGAAGUGUUUCAUCCACAGGGGGUGCCAGAAUCAUUGCGCACUGAAAGGUCCCUAAGAACUGUAUGAAAACCCUGCUACUCCCAAUACCUCUACUACUACUUCAAAUUAGCAAGUAUAUCAAGUUAUAGUAAUCAUUUAAUAUUGCAAUGUUACUUGUGCUAAACAAAAAAGUACUAGUGUACUGAAUCACAUAUGAAGGAGCCAGAGUAGAGUUUAUGACAUUUGAAAGUUAGGAGGUAAAACCCGAACACGAAUAACUUGUACCCUGAGAACAAAUGGAUAUGUACAUUUUAUUUGACCUCCUCUCUUUAACGACGUACCAUGUCAGAGAGAGCGCCAAGGCUGGACACUUCAAGGAAGGUCUUGUGGUACUUUUCCUCCGCUUAUUUAUUUAAAAGAAUUACCCCAGGAACUGUGGGAGACUUCCCUGGGCAGAAAUACACAGUAGUGAAGUGUUACCGUGUUUUUCUCUUUGAAUGCACUGUUUGUUUUGACAAACACUCUACAAAGCAGGUGGAGGGAGAAAAACCCCUCGGCCUCAUGUUUGCAGCCAGUUGAUGCCAUUACUCGGAUCCCUCUGAUGUGGCCACGGGCCUGGCACGCUUGGUUGUCCAGGUGACAGCCACUGUGGAGACAGAGGCCCUGACCGGUCUUGGCCCACUCUGUUGCACCAACUGUGCCAGCUUACCGUCAACUGGACACUAAACAGCAGCGACACACAUGCCCCCUACCCCUGCUGUAGACCGCGGGCACAAGUUUUAACCCGAGAACAGAUAAACACAAGGUUUGAAAUCAGGAGAUCUGAAAUCAGAUUUGAAACCCUCAAAUCCAACUGUAUCAGUCAGAGGAGUGAUGAAAUAUCUGACCCGGCAUCAGUGGUGUUGGGGGGGUGAUUUUAUAUCUGGUGGGCUGUAAGCAACGCCGAGAAGAGAUUUGCAGAGACAGCCCAUAACAGCUCCCUUGGAACCAAUGACUCAGAUAUGCAGAUGUGUUUACUUCCCUUCUGUUUCCCACCUCAACCAGCACACAAAAGGCAGGGGGAAUGAAAGUGCCUGAUAAUGUCUUUAAGUGUUUCAUUUAUAUAUUUAUAUGCCGUUAUAAAGAACUCAUUUUUCACUAAAACUUAGACAGGCACUUCAAAUGGAAAUCUGUAUUCCCUCCCUCCCUUCUGAGGGUAUUCAUCUUUUGUCUAAUGCGUAGCGCUGCUCACUGUUAGUUUCUCUCUGACACCAUGCCAGCAGAGUCAUCUGCAAAGGGACUCAUGUAGGGAUUAAAAACCAUCAACAGCUCCCCUUUAACAGAGAGGUGGGGGAAAAAAACUAAAAAAAAAAAAAAACUAAAAUACAAUAAAAAAGAAGAAGAAAAAAAAACUCGAGACAGUUUUGAGAAAACUUGUAGAAAGAGAAUGCAGAUUGUCACCUGACCCUGAGGCGAGGCAGCCCUAAAUAUAAUAAAGAGAAGACAACAGAAGAAGACGAGGCGACACGACACGGGUAAUGUGUUUUCUCUGCUGGUGUCGUCUGGCAGAUCUGGGAUGAUUGAGUGCUGAUGCCUGCCUGGGCCGCUUCAGAGAAGAUCGUCUACCCCCCAUCCCCCCUCCUCCUCUCUUCAGCUCAUACACACAUUCAUGACAACACAUAUGCAGGCACACACACAUACACAAACAUAAACACACACACACAUACACACAUACAUAACUUGUGCCUUCUGAGUGACAAAACAUCAAGGCAUUUUAACUGUCAUCAUCUCAGCUCCUCUUCGUCUCUGGUUUGUUUGGUCGAGGGAAUAAUUCAAGGUAACACUUUUAUUAUUGUGAUAUGCGAGUGUUUGCGUGUGGUUUUCUCCACGGUGGAUGUGUGUCUUAAUUAUAACAGGGUUUAGUGAAUUAGGGCAGGAUGUGCAUUAUUCUAACAUUUGCAUAAUCUCUCUUGAAUAAACCUCAGUGACAAACAUGCGAGCAGAAAAUCCCACAUACCUACUGUACUGCAGGGCCUCAGUGGAAAAAAUAUGAAGACAAGGCAUGUUUGUGACAGAAAGCUAUUGCAUUUCCUUGCAGAACGUGUGUAUUAUUCUUUGUAUAUUUUCAUAAUCUUUUCGUAUUGUGAAAUUGUCAGCAGCAGAUACAGACAAACAGGUGCUGGCUGCAGAGGAAGUUGAUUGGCCUGAUUCCAUGAUCCAUUUUCCCAAGGCUUACACACCCCUGCAGCUGUCCUCCUGAAUAUGAGAACCAUGUGUGUGUGUGCAUGCAUGCGUGCUUGUUUGUGAGCGCGUAUCGCACAGUCGUGGUUAUGACAAAUUCGCUCCUUGUUACUUGCCAAUAAAUGAACAAUGCUCUUCAUUGAUGACGAAAAAUCAAACAGAAAACAAAAUUCUGAUCCAAAGGAAAUGAAAGUAAUUGAAGAGAUUGAUCAAAAGGAAGAUCUUUAAGUGAUUCUCUCGACUAUUUUAAAGUUUAGAGAGCCUGACCUGCUUGUGAAUGUGUUCCCUGAUGUUCAAAGUGAAGUCAUAUCUCAGGUUUUAGGGGCUUUUUUGUGGUUUUUGCAUGGCAGAAUGUUUUGAACUGAGCGGUGACAGCCUCAGCCAAACGGAAGAGUCUCAUUCCUGUUGGAAAUCACUUUUCUUUCUCCCUCUCCCUCCUCUUCUCUCUGUCUCUCUUUCCUCACCCUUCUCUCUCUGAAGCUGCAGAUCACUUGAAAAAGAAAGAGGAAGGAACAUGAAUAAAAACUGAAGGCACUUCUCUUAGAUAUGUCUCUUGAUGCUCUUCAGAUCUUUAAGACUUCAUCAGAGGGAGAGGCAGGGUUACUCGAAGAAAAACUGAAGGACUCAGACUUCCUAAUCUACCGUACAAGACCUGAAUUUGAGAACACACGAGCGGCUUCUUUUUACUCACUCACAAUUUUGAUCUUUUCUAUUUGGCCUUAAAUUAUUGAUGGGCAGGUAGCAGUGCAGAAUCACUCGCUCAGUACUUUUGCCUUUAAUUUGGAUGAAAAGAAUAAAAAACAGGGACCAUAUUGUCAAAAGAAAGACUUGAUCUGCCUGUCCUUGAUCAUUUCAUCCUAUCUUCAGGAGAAAAAAAAACUUGAAUGCAAGUAGAACUCUAGGUGAAUGCUUCCUUUCUCACACAGCUGCUGCGUAGUUUAUUUGUUUAGAUAAAGUAAAUAAAAAUGCACAUCAUAUGUAACUGCAACAAUGAGCUAAUGAGGCUAAGGUAUGGAGGAUUUAUUUCACAUGGUUGUUAGACUUACGUUUGAACAUGCAAAGAAAACAAUGAAGGUUUCCAUAAAUGUUCAUCACCUGUGAGAAAAAUGGAUUAAAGACAUCCAAAAAUCUCCUGAGAGCUAUGUGAAAUUUUGUGGCUGUUUGCAUGAACAGUCGAGAUUUUCCCCCAACCUUGCAAACUGGGGUGAGACAACGCCAGAACAUAAUGUGUUUAGGAAAAUAAAUCUGAGUGAAGGAAUGAGUGAGUGGGCAGGGUAAUCAUUAUUUUACCAUGCCAAUGGUGUGAACACGAUUGACUGACAUGUAGCAGGAUGAAUAAAAACAUCCAAGGUGGAAGAAAAAGAUUCAUUUUCAAGACAAGAACAGCAAAAGUGUUCAUAUACGCGUAGAACUGACAAAAAUGCAAACAAUGAGAUGGAGCCAAUGUUCCUAACCUGACAGGAAAGACUUCAUGCUGUGGGGAACAAGAGGGAACAAGCAACUUUGGAAAAUUUGGGGGGCAGAUCUACUGUAAAAUUUCUAGACAUCCUUAAAGUGUUUGCAUCGUCCUCUUACAUCUCAGCAGUAUCUUCAAUUUCUAUUUUUGUCAUUCUUUUAUUUGCCUUGUGAGCCCAGACAAAACAGCCAAUGCCAAUUCUUUCAGAUUGCCGUUAAUGAGCUAAAUUAAUCGUCCCAACCUAUGAAUCGGUUUAUGUCUAGUUUAAACCGUGGGAAUGAAAACUAAAGCUCAGCCUGGACCAAAAGUCAGCUCUCUGUAACAGGCUUUAUGACAGGACAGACAUGGUGACUAAUGAGCCUCUAACAGGAGCCUUAAGUUUCUGUCUCUGAUUAAUCACAAAUUAAAUUGACAAAUUUUGGGUCAUGGUGGGGAUAUGAAUUUUUGUAUUAUAACAUGUUAAAAUCACUGCUGCAUUUUGAAAAUGACACAUUCUCCAAGUAGAAGCAUUCACCCCAAAUUUCACUGAAUUAUGAAUGAUCUUAGUUUUGUACCCUCUCUAGUGUUAAGUUUCUCAGUUGAGUCACAGUCUUUACAGCGUUGCACUAAUUUUUAUGUCUUGAAUAGUAAAUCCUGACCUUGGCUUUCAAACUUUACUUUUGUCUGAGGUCAUUUAAGGACAGCUCCAUAAGGGUUUGCUCAUUAGAUUAAUGCUUAAUAGUGCACCUGCACAGACACCAUAUCAGCUCAUUCACACCAUUAUUAUCGUUACACCAUGUCCAAGUUAAUAGGAUGAGUGGAGGAAAUGUACAAAAAUUUGUGCAUGACUCACGAUGUCUUUUGGGGCAUGGUGUCAGCUGAGAUAAAUUCAGGAGGUCACUUGUCCCGAGGCUGUGUUUUUCUUUUCUAACAGACCAGCUGGAUCACAAAGUUCACCUGCAGGAGAAGAAGGGAAACAGCACUCCCUGUUGGAGAGUAAGAGUAUUUCACAAGGAGGGCAAAAACUCUGAAUAAGGAGUAUCUUUUCUCAUUCUUAGCAACACAAAGUGCCAAUUUUCUGUCUCAGUAAUUAAGUCAGAAGUUUACUAUCGCCCUUGUGGAAACAGACACGAUAUAAAACAAAAAUCUUUAACCCUCCAGCUCUUUUCACUGAGUCCCUAGCUUUUAACUGUACUCUUCUGUUGCCUAAAAUAUCAGGAUUAUACAACACCCCAGUGAAGAAGUGUGAGACUGAGAUUUCUAUUGUUCCUCUUGUUCUCUUGUCGUUGCUGCGGUUCGCCGUGCCUCCAUUUGUCCCUGGACGUCAGCGAGCCAACAGAUUAAUUAGACGUCUGAUAGCAGUGUUCUCCCUUAGUGCUGGCCCGCUGAGUUUUGUUUCUCUUUUUCACUUCUUGUGAGCCUCUAAUUUCUCUCUUUAUAUGAACAGGCUUUAGUUGUUGAAGUGGCCCAGGGGAAAUAAAAUUAAGUAUUAUUCCCUCUGAGGGGCUGCAGCUUAUCCUGAAGAAUCAAGUCCGUGUCAUCCAUAUAGCGAGGGAAAAUGUGACAGGAGGUAGAUGUUAUCACUGUAAAAAGUUUUCAUUUUAGUUUCACUUUUGCCAACUGGCUUGUUAUAUCGCACACAUGCUCACAAGCAAUGUUUCAGCAAGCUAAUAAAAGCAACGACUUUGUGUUUCAUGUACUUCCACUCAACGUCUGUCAACCCUCUCUGGACACAGGUCUUGGUUAGUUGCCUUGGAAACGAGCAUAUGACUAUUCUGAGAAGCAUGCUAGUGAGCAAGCAACGGAGGGAGGGAGGGAGGGAGGGAGGGAGGGAGGACGUAAGCAUAGUAAAGGUAAGUCAUACAAGGACCCUUUGGUCAAGCUGAUAAAAGUGUGAUGAAAAUCAGAGGAUAAAGGGUUAUUUUUAUCAAUGUGCUGAAAAUGUGUUGCUUUCAAAGACUUUUGCAAAGUGGAGGAAUCAAUCGAAAACACAGCACUGAUUUUUUUUUCUUCUUCUCAUGUUCAGAAAUACUCCGAUUAGCCGUUCCUUUUAUUACUGCAUACACAUCUCCUAACACACAUCCUCAUACGGUAUCAGAGCCCUAAUCUGUGCAUUAAUUACAUGUGUCUGAAGCAUGAGCCACCCUUUUUUCCAGGCGUUAAGCCAUUAUGUAUGAGUCCAGGUCUUGGGCUGCACACUCUUUAUUCAUGUUCUUUGAGGAGGCUGUCAGGGAUAAUUAAGACAACAUGCUUCUAACCAGCCUGUUUGGAUAGCCUCUGCCCCCAACCCCCCCACUAUCUCUGCCUGAGCCUACUGCUGCUACUGCUGCUAAUGUUAACCUCUUACUGUCUCUUCUAUGCAUCGAGGAGAAAAUGGACUUAUAGAUGCAGAUAUCUCAAAGUGCAGGCAGAAAAAUAAAUAAAUCUACGUUUGCAAAUAGUAUAAAAAGGAAUAAACUUUCUUUGGGCCAAGUGUUAAAUACACUGAGAUGAGUGGUUGGGUCAGGGUUUCACAAUGUUAAACUACAUGGCAGACUUGGCCCUGUCUGUAAAAAAACUGUAGCCCAUUGUAUGUCUGUAUCCUGGCAAUUUCUUAUUACAGGGACAGAGCUGACCACCAGAAAUCCAAUCGAAAGCAGUACCCGCACAUAAACAGACCAAGAGAGGCAAAGAAAUUAGUCUCCUGACUUUGGCCACAGAUGUUUGCUGAAAUUAACACGUGCAGAAAGCCCCUCGGAGUAGCUUUAAAAGACUUUUAAUAAGGGAUAAUGUAAAGUGAUCAGAGAUGGUUGGGGCCCUGUUACUCUUCAGGCUGCUCUCACAUCUGUGCCACAUCCUUAUCCCGUCUCUUGAGACCAGUCCAGGACAGACAUGAUAUUUGUGCCACAGUGUCAACAGGCCAAGUUGAAUUGUGUGUGUUCGAUCAGAUUGCCCCUGGCUUCAGUUGUCUACUGACGAUAAAUUCCUGCUGUGAUGGAAUUUUGACCAAUCAGAAUCAAGCAUUUAUCAAAAGCCGGGUAGCAAGGUGAUGUAAAAAUGAUUAAAAUGCAACCAAAGCUAAAUUAAACCCCUUGAAGAGAAAAUAGGAGCAAAGGAGUGAGAAAAGGAAGAGCAGAAAGGUCAGAGUUGAGAGAAAGUGUCAAAUAACAACCAGACCUCUCAUUCCUGCCUGAUCUCACAGAUGUACACAUUCACACACAUGCACAUGUGGUAAAUGUUUCAGGCGCAGAAUCUCCUUUGAGGUCAGUGUUUGUUUUCUUUUGUCCCUCUCUUCUUUCCUCUCCUGUGAUCCAAGGUGACAGGGCAGUGUUGGGGUAAAAAGGGCAGGCAAGCAUAUAGUGCACUGGCAACGAGAUUGAGCAGCCGGAGCAGUAUGGAGGGGACAUGAAGGCCCAUCCAGAGGCCUUAAUUCAAUAACAACAGCACUGCGAUGAAGACUUGGGGCUGGGGGAUAAACUGCUACAGUCAGAGUUAGAGGAGAGGGGAGCGGAUGUAGGCAUGAGGAGAAAGAAUCAGAUUACCAUGCAGUUAAAGGGGAAAGGAGGAUGACACUCAUCCGACCUGAUUUAAGCGACAGAAGCGUAAGGAAUGAAGUCCUCAGAUCGUCUGUCCCUUGACCUCGGCAAGGAGCGUUGAGUGUGUUAGAGAGGGUAGCAGAAGAAUCACUCAUGCUUGGAGUGAGAUGGUGCCUAAUCGUCCAGAGGUUGGGAUUGAGUAACUGUGACUGGGUGCAUCCGCCGCUGAGCGAGGGGCAGAGGAAAUCUGAAAAGCUAAAAAGUCAUAAUCAGGUUUUUUACGCAAGUGGGCUGCUCGAGGCUGUGUGUGCGACAAGGCCAUCAGCCACUAGUGCUCCUGUAGAUGUGACACAAGUCAUUUCACCUCAGCUCCACUUGGCUCAUGCACAUUCACAGGAUGGAAAUCGUGCCCUGCUCUCUUUGUGUGCGCAUGAAGCCGGUCUGUGCAGCUGGCUGGUUAGAUUGAUGGUUUUUAGUCUGCCUAUCUGCCUUUUUGCUUUCUACCUCAAUACCCUCUCUGAUCCUUUUUUGUCUGUCUUACAAAAUCAGGUGCUGUAAUUGUAUCAAACAUGGAUAAGAAUCAGUUUUAUCCCGACAGUAAGAGCCUCUGUGAUUAUAGUUAAAGUGCCCACAUAUUUUUCUUUAAUGUGUGCGUGGUUUGAUCUUUCCACCGCGCGCGUGUGUGUAUGUGUUUAUGUCAGUGCAUGUUUGUCUUAGACUAUUGAUCCAGCCAGCCCACAGCAGACAUUAAAUGAAAAGAGUAGAGGCUGAGACCGACAGGGAGAAAGAUGGAGAGAGUGAUGGAUGGCAAUAAAAGAGGAAGGAGCUGCAGGCGGGAAGAAAACCCCACCUAAGAGAGAACAAGGCCAAUGAUUUGAAGCUUUUAAAGUGUGGAAACAUUUAAAGAUAUAACCAGGUAUGUAGGAACCAAAGCUUGCACACUGAUUUAACACAUCGUAACAUCAUUUAUACUUAACCUUUUAUACAAAAAUGCAGCCCAAAGUGUUUCAAAUAAACAAAGAGAUGUCAGAUUAGUGUAAAAUGUUAUAUAUUUUUUUUUGUGUGUGUUGCAUUUUUGGUGCAAAACAAAUUAGGGCAUGUCCAACUGCUUUUCAGUUAAGUGGUGUGAAAUCACAGCACCAUGAGCCAUGCUUACAUGAAAAUUGAAAAUUUGAAAUUGAAAAUUUCUUGAUCCAAUUAAAAAUAUGAGGGUUCAGAUCAUCUGAAUCCACUGUUUAUAUCAAUAAUCCGAUCAUGACGUGCGUAUACAUGCACCAAGCUUUAUUCGGAUUAUUUGGACAUGCGCAGACUUGUCUGAUUUCGCAAAAACAACCGCAGAAGAAGAGGAGUUGUAUUUCUGCUGUCAAGAAACCAACAAACGCGGCAGUGGAUCACGCCAUCCAAUUCAGGAGUUUUCACCCCUGUUAAAUAAUGUCACUAGAUGGCGCCCUUGCGCACUUAUUUUACCGUUCUGUCAAAGGUCGCACUGUGCGUGCGGCUGUGACAUCAUUACGCUGUAUGUACGCCUUGUUAUGUUACCGGAAGAGCAGACACGGUAGCUGCGGUUGUGUUUUAAGCCAGUUAAUUAAUUGUUAAUUGUUAAUAAUGAGACCUCCUGUACUGACCUCAGUAAAUGAAGAGUGAAGAUCGACUCAGGUAAGAGUCAUGAUCAGAAUUUGUGUUUACAUGGACGCGUUUCGGAAUAACUAUCGGCAUAAACCACCCCUCUUGAUCCGAAUACAAUUUCUUUCCAAUUGAGCCGCAUUGGAUCAGAAAUUGACACGUUAACAUGACGCAUUUUCAUUCUGAUCGGGCAUUUAUUCCGAUUAUUUGUGCCCAUGUAAACGCAGAGUUAUGCUGAGUUAUGUUGGUGGAUGGAGUGAUGUUAAAUCAACUGAAGCAGUUCCUCUUAACAGCAGUGACUCUACAAAUCAACAGAGACAUGUACAUUUAUAUUCAUGUGACACAGAAGUCUUAACUUUAUCAGUAAUUCAAAACUCAGGGCAUGCAGACAGUAUCUUUCAGGCAGGGUCUAAUGUUAGGUGAUGUCCCGUGUAUUUUGCAUGAAAGAAAGGGCGACUGUUAAUCUUUAUUUCUGUGUUACUGCUGCUAGAUCAGUCAGUUGUACUUUGUCCCGCGGGUGCAACAGAUAUAGUUUAAUCUCUUGAAAUCUGUGGGCAAAUUUGUCAGUGCCAUUCAGUAUUAGCGAAUUGAACAAGUGUCAUUUGGUGAGUGUGUUUGGGUGUGUUCCUGCAUAUACUUUAAGAGUGAGAUGUAGACCUUGGUGACAGCAGUCUGAAGUUUUUGGUCCCUGCACAGGGUUGAUUUGAAGCUGGUCUGUGAGGAAAUAGUGUUAAGGUUAUCUUUAUUCUAGUACUCUGUAACCAGCAUCGUACUUUAUCAUGAUUGACUCUCUCCAGAUUGGGGAAAAUGCAGGUGUCUGUGACUGUAUCAGGGAAGAAUAUCCCUCUGCUGUGCAUCUCUGUCUAUGUGGAAAAGCAGAGGAGCAGGCCCUGCGACAUGGGCUUUAGACUUUUGACCAGGUUUUUGUUUGGCUGGUUUAAGGCGCAGGUGCUUUCUGUGUCCCCAAGAUAGAAAUACAUUCAUUCAUUCAUUUGCUAUUUACACAAUCUGGGCGCUGGGUGUACUUCUGAUCAGUGUGUUGGGUGAGAAUAACAAAACACUUGCACUGUAGGUCAAAAUGCUUUGCAGCAGGUGUACAAUGAGGGCCAGAUAGUUACAGAAGACUCUAAUCAGGUGCUGUUUGUACAUCAUACCUUAGUUAAAAUGCUGUUUUGACAAUAUAUGGUAGAAACUGAAAAGUUUUAGAUGUUUUCUUGACGAAUCAAACCAUCAACCAUUUCUUCGAUUGGAAGCUGGAUAGGCAGGGAAAUGUAUGGUAAGUGUGUCGCAAAAUCGAACUGGGACCCUCAGUGAGCCUCUCUGGCUGAGUCCUGCCCAGCCAGAGAGGCUUCACAUGUACUCAGAAGGCUUUGUCAGACAAGGAGAAGCAGUGAAGAAUCUCAGUGAUCCCUGUGAAACUUAAAAAGAAAGACUUCGAAUUUUGUGGUAGUAUCUUUUAGUAUUUUUAACAGAGCACUUUACCAGAAAGGACAGAUGCUCCCAGUGUUUUCAGUGUUUCCCUGUCAUGUCACACAGCUCAAGAUACCUGAAAAUGACAGGGAGCAACUCAUGGACAUUGAGGGAAACUCUGUCGAUAAGCAUGAAAACACGACAUAUAAGAGUGACUCAUGGUAUACAGUGAACAUAUGCAGUGUCCAGUAAAUGUGUACUUAAAAAUCCAUAUAAUAUAUACAUUUAUUAUGUGUGUGUGCGCGCGAGUGUACCACAGCAGCAGGAGAAAGUGGCCCGCAGAUAUGAGAACAACCUUGGGGAGAGUGAGAGAGCUGCUGUAGCUCCUGUGAGCGCUGUAUGCCUCCCUUACAUGUGCUCUUUGUACCUCUGCUUUUCAGUCAAUCUGUGCUCUGCACUCUUUCAUCCAUUAGGUCUUUCUCUUUCUCCUGCGUCACAUUUUUUUUUGUAUUAUUGGACUGUUUGUCCUGUUCAUCUGGGACCUUAAAGCAGCAGAGAAAACAUACACUGAAAUAGUCCAUAAUCAUGUGUGUGAUACACUCAGAGCAGGUAGUGGAAAUUUAAAAAUGUUUCCAGCAUGAUGGCUUAAUAAGCACAGGUCUGUGCAGCAAGGGGGCGGAAAAUUAACAGGUUCCCUCAUCCGUCACUGUAAGAAUCAUACUUUGAUUACAUGCCAUGAAACACAUGCACACAGGAAUGCACUUUUUCACAUUUCACAUACUGUAGAAAUUGUAACAGCAUGUCCUUGCAAUUCAGAUUGAAGGCACAUCUAUGUCUAAACUGACAGGUACUGUAUGUCCAUAUGCAGAUGGAGAAACGUGUGUCAGUUGUUGUAUACUGUACAUACAACAUACUGCACUCACAGGAGGUCAAGGGCACCAUCUGUGCAUGUUCAAUACUUAAUUAGAUCCACUGCCACUGAAUAAUGUAUAUUUAUGGGACAGAAAUACCUGAGAUCACGCUGGUCGCUCAUCUUUCACACAUUUCUUCAUCAACUUCUUUGAAGUUUCCACAAACAGUUUCCUGCUCACCUUCUCUGGUGGCAAAAUGAUGAAUCCCAUUAACUCCAGGGCUUUAUCUUAUUGAAUUCAACAUCCACUAAAAUAAUACAUCAACAAACACUCUUUAAAAAAGCUAAAGAGGUUUCCUUCCUGUAAAAGAACAAGUGUUUAUUUGAGUUAAAUUUGAUUACAGUAUAUUUUGAUUUAAUUUAAUUAAAAUCAAGAAACAUCAGCAGCGGCAAAUAAUCUUUUCCAACCAUACCUGCAGUGAUGUUUGUAUCUGCCGUGUAUUUUAAUUCUUUACAUCCCCAAAAACUCUUGAACUGGCACUGAUGAGGCACAGUGAUCUUUUUUUCCACAUUAACAUGAAAAAUUAAAAACAUUUAUCAUCAAACUUAGUUACGAACUGUCGCACAGUAGUGGUUUGACAAUUUUAUCGAAUUUCUAACAAGUGUUUCAAGCUGCAAAUAUGAGCGUAUUUCAGAAAAAUUCACCCACCACAGCCGAAGAUUCCAAUCACAAAAGUUGCAACCACCUUUAAGCAUGUAAAUCAAUUUUGUAUAACGCUUAAUGGACAUUAGUGUUGCUGAAUUUACCUAAAAGGAAUUUAUUGUUUUUAAAUGACUCCCCCUGCCAUGUAUUUUAGCUGCAGUAUCACUCCAAGCUAAUCAUGAUAACUUCUUAUACUUGACUUUUGACCUCCAGGGUUGCUAGCAGAGACUAAUAGCAUACAAAUAUCUCUAUGUGUAAUGAAAAGUAGGAUUUCUCUGUAACCAAACUCAAAGUGUGUCACAGAGUGUGAGUUCAGGUUAUGUAAAAACUGUGUCAGCCUUGUACAUCUGUUCCCAAACAAUGCGGGAAUGAAAUCUGAUAUCGUGCUGAAGCUCAAAAAAGGAGGAGCUUUGUAAUGCCUGCGUAUCUCCUCGCUGUCAACACUGGCGUGCUCAUAAAACAAGGCCUCAUUUUAAGUCAAACAGGAAAUCGCCUGCACAACCCUGGGAACAAACAGGAGAGGACAGCAGUGCAGUCUGAUUGGGCCACUAACGGUGGCUGUCGUUACAAAGCACCACUGUAAGCUCCAUCGAUUAUCAAAGGGCUCCGAGCUCAGACGGGGAGUCGACUGAUCUUUCCCAAGCUCAGACAUGAAAAGCCCCCAGUGACAGCUCAUAGCCUGGGCUAGAUCACACUGCUGAUGGGGGGAGGCUGCUGUGGUGCCUGUUUUCUAACCACCUGCUCCACAGGCCGGGGUUUUGUUUUCUUGUUUUCUCUCUUUUAGCGCAGCGCUCUGUCAGGGCCAACAAGGAUGUGCUUUCAUAUGAACUCAGGGCCAGCGACAACAUAGGUGUGUGUGUGAGACACUUGGUAAAACAAUGCAAGACAACCUUUUAUUAUGGCAGCGCCUCAUUACUUUUUAACCAGUGUAAUCGUACGUGCUGCUCCUCAUGAAUUAUUCACAGGUGAGCUCUUGUCACGGGAAUGACAGGGGGGAUAGCAGAGCGCUGCAAGUGGAAAAACAAGCACAAAAAUAGGAGAAUUCACGCUUCGGGAAAGCAGUGCCGCUUCAUACCUUCCAUUAACUUAUGAAGACUUCAUGCAGGCUAUUGAUUAUGUAUGUGAACAGAGUGUACACUAUGGUGUUGAACAUAUGGGUCCCACACUGAGUGUCCCUUUUAUCUGUUACAUGACAAAGUGAUUUUCAGACCAAUUAAACCAAUUAGAAAAGUGGUCCAAGGUUUAAGCCCCAGUUUGUUCUCCUAUAAUCAUCAAGACUUUUUAAAGAAAAAAGAGAAACAGUGGAAAAUGUUUGAGGUUUUUUUUAUUGUUGCUGUUUUUAUUUUUAGAGAAAAAAGAGGGAAAGUUACUACUCGAAAAUAGAUGACACCUCCAUCACUGUUCUUCCCCUAAGCUGCACCUCAUAUCACGUCUUCCCAUUUAUUACACUAACUUCCUGCCUCAUGACAACUAAACCCUGAGAUCACAUCCAAACUAAAUGGCCCUUCAAGAAUCCCUCUGAUGUUGAAACCAAAUCUACAGCCUCUGAGACUUUAUUGACUGAACUGAAAGUGAAAUCUGAGACGAGUUCAGAUUUCUGCUGAGUGGUUCUCACAGCCAUGUGGCACAAUAUCGACACAAAAUGUCUAUUCAUAGACUUUUAUCUAACUCCCAGGCUCCCGUGAGAGUCUGCUGAUGCCGCCACACAUCCCUUCAGUUCACAGCUUUCUGAAACAUCUACGAUCAAUUAGGAACCAAUUAAACAAGGUGUUAAUGAGCUUCCUAAUGCCUUAACAGCUAUGCUUUCUCCGUUAGGUUUUCUUUGUUAGGAGACGUAUUCAAGUUUGACUUCAGUUCUCUUUGUCUCAGGAUUUUAACCUGUCCUUGAUUUUCUGUUUGUUCUUUAAGGAGGAUGGUACAGAAAUAAGCCUGGCUUUGAAAGGGGGUUCCCAGAUCUGCAACAAAACAUUUUAUUCACAUAAGAGUUACACAUGUUGAAUUUGACUUGAUGCGACUGAAACCAUAAAAAGCAUUUGUUCCAUUUUAUCCUUAAAUCCUAUUUAAAGAUUGUGCGUGGUAGUGGUGGUGUUUGAACGAUAGCCCAAAUAGAAAAAAAAAGCUACAUAAAGAGAAAUGUGAUUCAAAUUUAUUAGCCUACAUAAAAGUCAAAAGUGAAUGUAAUUGCAAAAAUGAGCUGCAAAUAAAAGUUCACGGGACAUAAAAAGACAAAUUAAGUGCAUUACUGGAAAUAACAAAGUGGAAAAGACGAGGCAGUGACCUUGUUAACAAAUCACACAAUACUGCAGAGUGUCUUUGAGGAUUGUGCUUCCCUGACUACCGCAAAAAAAAAAACACACAACAAAAAAAGCCCCACAUGACUUUGAUCGAGAAAUAGUUUCCGAUUGUUCGGGUCAGUGUGACUUACAUUCAGCUCAGAAGUUUUACGGCUCAGACCAGCUUACUUUAGCUGAUAACCUUUGUUGGAGAUCUAUAAUUAUGACCCCCCCUGGUAUGUAGGUCUGAAAUAGAGCGUUAACCUCUGCAACCAUGUGGUUCACAGUGUAUUUGAUCAAAAAUCUCUCUUUUCAUGAAAAUAAAAGAACUGUAAUAUACUGAAACCUGUUUCACUAGAUUCUCGUAGAGGCGCCAUUGUUGCCAUGUUUGCUGCUGCUUUUUGAAUGUUUGCUUCAUGGAUUUGGUUUCUACGUGUUUUUGCAGUCCAUCUGCUGUUGAAGCAGUUUUUUUGGUCAUGUUCUGUGUGUAUAGAUGUGCAUCGUUGCUAAAUUUGCAGCACAUUUUUAGAGUAAUUAACUUGAUUUGUCCCUGACCGUCGAGAUUUGUAAAACAGAAACCUACUGUAACCAUUUUGUUGUACCACUGGAAUAAAAUUUUGGCAUUUGUUAUGUAAUCUGGCCCUCUUUGCUAAAUUUGCUGCAGCAUGAUUUGUAAUGUAUUAUGUUAUAACUCAGCUUUAGUAGUUCCACUGACCAACACUGCCCACGCAGGUUCAAACAACCAGGCCACACUCACAAACACACUUGUUUGUGUGAGUCAGGGCUUUGAAUGUGUGAGAAAGUAAAAUAAAAUUAAAGGUGAACUCAGAAAAAAAAAAAACUCAAGUUCAACCCGGCUAUUCUCUCGCUCCACUCCUCCACUUUCUGAGUCAACCGCCUGCUUUUCAAGGCUUUCAUCCACAGAAUGCAGAGUGAAUCACGACGUUUAUAUCAUUAGAUUUUUUUGACAAACUUUGUUUAAGAAGUUGAAAGUGCUGUUAUGCUGUGUAGGGAAAGAGGAAAGAAAAAGGAGUGCAGAAGGAGAUGACCCACUUAGUGUAAUUAUCGCUAACGAAGAGACGGGGAAGUUGUGAGCUGGGGAAAACACAUGGGCCUAAAUGCGUUAAAUUAAUCCAGAUAAUUCAAUAGGCGAUGAUGAAACGCCACAAUCAAGCCCCCUCUGGCUCCGCUGUUUGACUGAUAGUGCACUGGGCUGUUUUAUGUGGAUAGUUUUCCAUAACCUUCUUCUUUGUGGCUGCUGCAUUGUGUUUGUCUGUGACACACUAGCAUACAAGCACAUUAGCACACACACACGCACACACACGGGUAAACACACCACUGUAUAUUGUCACCCUUGGACAUUUCCUGAGCCUCAUGUGAGAUUCAUACGAUGCAUUCAUCCGUGGCUUCCCUCUGGGUGUAUGCAAGUACGGCGUCUGAGGUUUGGUAACAAGAUCAUUAAAAUAAUCAAAUUAUGAUAAGAGAGAGUCAGUCGUGCUGAAACUGGUUGUUUUGAGUCCAUCAGAGGCAACGCUGUUAGUGUGCAGUGCGACGAGCGACAUUAGCUGACAGCAUGGGAAAAAGCCUGCGGUGGCUCUAAGCUGUAAUAACAUUAUACCGCCGCUUUCUCACAAUAACAACAUGGCAGGAAUGAAAGAAAAGUUCCUUUUUUUUGUGAGUUAAGUGUCCCACUUUCUUAGCCUCAGAGCAAAACAACGCUCAGCCAUCAGCUCGUGUCUUAAUAUCAUGUCGGAGGAGAUGUCUGCCUGGCUCACCUCCUGUUAGCAGGCUGCUGGUCUGUUUCUGGAGGCGACACAGAGCAGCAUCUUCUCCGAUUUAUCACCACAGAAAAAGAGAGAGAGGAAGAAAACCCGCACGUGUCUGCACCUUUACCUCCUGUACAAAUAUUUGUUUCAUGAAAAUAUAUCCCCCACCUUUAAUUACAAAUGUGUCUCUCCUCUUGCUUACAAACACCUCCUUGGAGAUGUCGUGUUAUUACUAUUGCAGUUUAAUCUGAAAAGGAAUUAAAGCUGCAGUAAUUAGUUUAUAGUGCCGUCUAAUUGUCUUAUUGUGUUUUUAAAAACAUUGCCUCAUCUCCUCGGGAACUUUGAAAGUAGGAUAGUGUUUCCCCUCCUCCUCAUCAACUUCUCUCUCCGCUGUACAACACAACUAUUCAUUUAAACCAAUAAUCUCCAAGUCAUUACCACUUAUCAAAAGGGCUGCAAAUUAAUUAUGUUAACUGCAAGACUUUUCAUUAGAUCUUUAAAUUUGUACACUUCAUCAGUUCUGAGAACUCAGCAAUUUGAUUACAGUUGAUUUCUUUCAAUUUAAUGAGGCAAGCAUUUCUUUUUUUCCCUCCUUUUUGUCCAUUUUUUUCAUUAAUUGGAUUAUGAUCAAUGCAAGCUUUAAUGUUAUGGAAAACUUAACCACAGCCCCUAUCUACUAUGACACAGUUUUGCAGUGGAAGAUUACAGGAUGCCGUAUCUUCAUUCGUCAAAUAUCAAACUGUCUUUUCUUAACGAUGUUGGAAUGAAACGUUGCUAAUCGCUGCUGACGAACGCACACUGCUGCUCUACAAAGAUAAUGAGUCUGCCAGAGUCAAGGGGAGAAACAAACAGCCAGGGAGAGAGGAGAGGAGACUGAGAGGAGAGGAUGUGACAGAUCAACAAAACACAGAUACUCCGAGUAAAACUACAGGCUGACAACUCAUGUAGAAAAAGAAAAAAGAAAGUAUAGCUGGAAGAGAAAAGACAGGGCGCGACGGAAAUGGAGGAAAGAAAGAUAUGGAAAAGGGUGUGAGGAGAGCGUCACAUUGUUUCAGGUUCGAGAGCUGACCUAAAUGGAGAUGUGAGGUAAAGCUGGAGAGACGGAGUCAGAGACAUUAGUGAGACACAUGUCAACCAACAUGGGAUGUGAGGUGUGAAAGAGAGAAACAGAGCGAAAGAGGGAGAAGCGGAAAGGACCGGGACGAAAUCAGAACAUGUUGAUAGAAAGGCAGACAGACACCCUCUCCAGGUGCGUCCACUUCUGGAAACUUUUGUGUCACACUGAGACGGAAAAUGAGCACUUCCAACCCGUAACUUUAAAUUUAAUUACCCCUGCUUAUUUUCUUUUUGUUUUCAGCUAUUUGACCUGACAGACGAUCUGCCAGCCCAGAUCUUUAGAAAACCUGGUGAUUUAUACCUUCCACAUGGUACACACAGAAAGACGAUUCAUGGACGUGAAAUGCACCUGUGCAUUUUAACCUCCUCCACUCUGGACCCAAAAUGUCACACAUACGCAGAAACUCACACACAUGCGGACACAUGUACACACAAGCACACACACACAGGUGCUGCUGGGUGGACCGCAGGGAAGAGGUGAGAGCGUUCUCGCUUCGCUGAGUGGAAAACCUGAUCUUCUUACCUCAGCAGCUUCAGAUGGAAGGACUCAGUGGAGAGACAUCUGUGUGUGUGUGUGUGUGUGUGUGUGUGUGUGUGUGUGUGUGUGUGUGUGUGUGUGUGUGUGUGUGUGUGCGUGUGUUAUAAGAAGGAAAGUCUCACCAGCAGAGGAGUAAAGGGAAGAAAUUGAAUAGGGAUGUUAAAGAUAGACAGACAGAGCUGGAGAUACUGGGCCCUGGGCUGUUGUCAUGACAACAGAUUAGCAGGCCAUAAUGUAAACAGGUGUCUCCUUUUAACUUGAUCAAUUUGGCUAAAUGAGCUAAUCAGCACUUGUGAUAUGAUCCCUGGCUGAAAAGAAGAUGAGUGAGCCCCCUCAGACCUCUCCUUGUACCUAUUUUCUUUACCCUGUGGACCGCGCAUGUAAAGAAAGAUAAUGUCUCUUACCUCCUGCUGAUGAACAAAUAAAAGCCAAAAUGUUACCAUAAUUGCUGCAGUCACACUGGCCCUCACUUGUCAAUCUUGCGUAGAACUGAACGCAGAUCUGAGCACAGGAUUCAUAGUACGAUGGGACACACGUGAGAUUUAUGAAAGGGUUCAUAUCUGACCAAUCCCAGCAUACGUAUGAUCGGGUCUUGAUAAAUGCAGCAGCUGAAAUCGAUCAUCAUUAACAUGUCACACCCUUAAAUAUUUGUGGUUUAGAAGCCUCGCCCACUGAGGUCAAACAUGAAAGAGGAGAAAUAUUAGAAAGAUUCGAAACUUUUCCGAGCUGAAAGUGGAUAUCCUCACAUCUGUGGUGGAAACUAACCAGGAUUUGUUCUUUGGAAGCAUCAAAACUGGUAUCGGCAGUUUGAAUAAAUCAUUAGUCAAUAAGUUGCACAUGAUGAUAAAUUAAUAUCUCAUACAUGCCUCAUAUUUUUUUAUUGCCAUGACAUAAGGUACAUGUCUCCUAAAAUUUGAAGUAUUUGGUUUUAAUUUGUUGCGUCUUUGUAAUGUAGAGCGGACUGGAGAGUCUGACAGAGGCUGAACAAAAAUACUUAUUAACGUCACUAAACGGUGCGUUGCUGCUCCUGAGGCACAUUUUUAUGGAUUUCUAUUGGAUUUUUAUCACUGAUUAAAUAGCAAGAGCAUUUCAGAAUCCAUCGAUAAGGUCCUGUCCCCUCUGUACAGCACCUUUGUGAGUGUCCUCGUUAUUGUUCUCCGGGCAUCGGGUCCUCAUGUUGCACCGGCACAGCCAACGGCACUCCAUUCACCAGUGCAACAUUGUGCAAAACUGUCCUGGCCCAAAUGAUGUCCCACACCCUUUAAGGAGUGUACAACAACGUCCCCGCUGCUGGGCGAAGACAGAGACACCUGCCUUUAAGGAGUCAAAUGUGCUCGUGUGCACAAUGUUAAAACGGCGCUCCUGCUCUGUGGCAGUGUUUCUGGGCAGAGUUAUCAAAUAGGCCUAUUCACUAAGGACAUGACAAAUUUACUUUACUUUAUUUACGUCUUAAUCUUUAAUGAAAUUUGGCUGAUUGUGCUUAAUGACAGGUUUAAGGGUUGUUUAUCAAUUAUUUUCAGACAGACAUUUGCUGCACCGCAAAUCCACACUGACUCAAACUUGCGUACACGAUGUUAGACCUGUAGUGAGAUUUGGUUGUAGCGUACGCUCAUGUGCAGAUUGAUAAAUGCGGUACGCAAGGUGUACAUAAGUUGUCUGCCGUACACAAGCUUGAUAAAUGAGGGCCAUCGUGUCAGAGAGCCAGAGUCUUCAAGCUCGGAAACACCAAUGUGCUUUCAGUGAGACAGCACUGACCAUAAAGCGCUGAGAUUGUUAAUAGAGCAAAGAGUGUAGACUCAAAGCAGUGUAUCUUGGGUUGGAAUUUCUUAAAAAUAACUAGAUCAGCUUUUGUGGUGAAAUUGGUCUUGUCCAUUCCUUGAGCUGGUGUUCAUCCAGUGGUUUCAAAGCAAGUAAAAGGGCUGAUCAGACAAACAAUUUCUGUGGGUAAAAACUUUCUCUUGACAAGUGCCUCAUACAAGGCCUCAAAUACUGAACUCUCUCCUUUAUUAAUGUGUGAAACGGUCCCUCAGGUUGAUACAGAACCCAGUGAAACUGUUUUUAGAAGAAGUAGAACUUUCUUGGUCCUCGAAGGAAAAAUUAGAGUCAGUUUCGAACAGUUGUGUGCUCAAUGACCCCUGUGUUAGUGUUCAACAUGUCCUCUCUCAGUCAGUACGUUGACAUGUUGUUCAAAUAAGUCAAUUUAUUGCCUCAAUCAGAAUCAGUUUGAUGACUGCGUGUGUCUGUGGAGAACUGUUGGACAUGCUGCUGUCUCGUCCAGGAAACCCUUGCAGAUGAGAUUUUUAAUCUCAAGUUUUUUUUUGUUUUUUUUCCUGGUUAAAUAAAGGUUAGAUUUAAAAAAUAAAAUAAGAAACUGGACUUUUAUUAACAUGUAAAUGCAUUAGUCAGACUGAAAAUAUACUUAAUCAAACUUCUCAUUGUCAGACUAACAGCUCAAUCAAACUGUAACUGGCCUCAAACAUUCUGCACAUGCCCCAGGGUUUGCACACCAGAUUUUGUGAACAGCAUUGAUAUGUUGCUAGGAAGCCAGGUAGGUUAAAAAAAAUAAACCUUGACAGCUGAAGGAAAGAUGUAAAAAAGACAAACCUUUCCUAACAAACAGAAUAGAGCUGUAAAAGUGUCAGGGUUUUCAUCGUACGACGUACCUACAACUGGCCCUUUGCUUAUGCACUUCAUUGGCUAUUUUGAUACUUAAUCCGUCAACCAGGAAACAGUAACAAGCUGAAAGGGACAUGCCGCCACCUACUGUAGCACAGGCAUUUUUCUGUCAAUGAUUAGACUCUUGCCCAGUGCGUGUAAACUGAGGCAUGGACAGUAGUCCAGUGAAAUCGCCUAAUCGAGCUAGAACAGUAGCUCGACUUUACUCUGCAGGUUAACAUACUGACUUUUAUCUCUGGCACACAGUCUCACAGGCACAGCAUUUAUCAGCAGAGCUGUCAGUCAAAGAAUAAUACCCCAUAAUAUUAUAAAAGAGUCAACAAAUCUUCCACCACCUGGAAGACAGUGGAUGUUGUGGGCUCAAGAAUUUGUAUUGAUGGAUGUUUAGAUUGUAAGAACUGGACAAAUGGAGGAUCAUACUUAUCAUGCAUCACAAGAGCUUCUUGUCUUAGAGGACCUCCGUCCAUCCACCAACAAGAGGGGUGAGCAGGAAAGUGUUUCAAUCGAUAAUCAUACUGUUGCUAAAUAUUCCCAUUUCUUUACACUAUUUUUGAAAGUAAACUGCUCAGAAAAAAAUAUCAUUCAGUUUAGAAAUUGCUUCAUGAGAACUUCUUAUAAGAAAAGAAACCAUGUUUGAGAGAUAUCAAUUUAUGUGUGAGUGUGAUUGUAAAGCUUCACCCAUGUCCCAUCUGUUUCCAUGGAGGAAAACUUUAUGACCCAGACUGGUGCCUGUACUGCAGGGGAGCUCCAAAUGUCAUGCCAUCUUUUUAUACAGUGUAUGGUGCUGGCAUGGUCAUAGGGUCAAGUGGAUUUAUACAGUGGUGCGCUGUUCAAUCGCCUCCCACCUGUUUGUGUGUACGACCACCCACAAUCAUCAUUAGCAUCUGACAGAGAGACAGAGCACCGUUUGUGUGGAUUAUCACAGCCACACGUGCCAUUACCAUAACAGUAACGGUAGCAGCUGAAUGGAUAAUCAGCGAGGUAUUAUGUGCUGGGAUAAUAGCACCGUGUGAAAACUGGAGACACACUCUUCGGCUAACGUGCGCGCACAACCGUAGCAAUUAUUAUGAGCAGGGUUCAUGCUGCGUUUCGCUAAAGCUGCGUUCAGCCACAGAUCUGAUUACGAUAACAACAGUGUAUCUUUGUGAUGAUGAUUAUUAGGACGAUUGCAGCAAUGAUGAGGGUGUUAUUUCCAGGGCUGAGCUUACCUUUGUGUGAGCAACAGCUGUGUGUGUGUGUGCGUGAGUGAGUGAGUACGAGUGUGUGUGAAUGUGAAUGUGAGAAAGAUACAGAAAGGGGUCUUAUCCGCUGUUAGGUGUGAAGGAGACAUCAUCUGUCACAUUUCACACAAAAGUAGCGUUAUCACUUCAAUAAUACAGUUUGUCCUGACAGAUGAAUUAUUUAGUAAAAGAAUUGAGUGAGAAAACUGUCUCUCUUCCUAUGAAUCCUGGUCUCUCAGAUGGCACACCUGUGUCUCUGGGAGUCGUAACUAAUGUUAGCAGUUGUCAUUAGGAGAGACUUUGCGCUAAUUAUCUCAUCACUGUCUGUCUCACGGGAUUCCUGCGAAAGAAUUCAAUACAAGUGCAUUUUCAUCCAAACGUCUUUAUCACCUCCAGUCUCUAUCGGGAAGGUGCAAACAUGUUAAUAAUGACAGAUACAUGGCAGGGAACAAAGAGUGGUUAUCAGGUGAAAUCAAAGACUUGCCGGUGUUGUUUUUUUUCUGAGGGAGGUUUGCUCCGCUCAGGCGUCUCAUUUUAAGAGAGCAGCGUUUUUGUUGCCUUAUAUCCCCCUGCUGCUGUGGGCAUGUACACAUUAUUAAGCUUCUCAGGCCUCCCCCCUUCCCUACACACCCGCCACCAUCCUCCCACCCAGCUCCCAGGAGAUAAUCAGGGUAUUACAAAUGAAAAGUCAGAGCCAUAAAUCAGGAGCCCCCCUCCACUCCCCUCUCCCUCUCCUCUCCUCUCCCCUCCCCUCUCCCCCCUUCAGGUCCUUUCGCGAACUCUCCUCCCCACUUCUCUCACUCUCCCCUCUCGGUCCUCAUCCGAUCUGGACAAACGGUGGCUCUGCGUGUCCUGCUGGGGAGACAAAAAACACAGAUAGGGAGUGAGAGAAAUGGAGCGGGGAGAAAGAGGGACGAGAGGGGUAAGGGGUGAGGGGGACUGAGUAAUCCGGGAUUUCCACUGGAUGACGUCAGCUGUUGGCCCUUGUCAUCCAUCAAACUCACAUCUGUGUCACAAACACUCCUGUGUGUAUUCUUUGUGUGCGUGUGUUGCAAUCUUACAUGAGUCAGGCGCAGCUGGUUGGUGUUUUUGUGGUUGAAGUGGAUGUGCAGGGACAGAUAAGAGUGAAGAAUUAGGAAUAAGAAUAAACCUGAUAAUUUUGGAAAUGUAUUUAGAUUUUUUUGGAUGGAAAUCACUCAUAAAGAUAUUUUGAAGACAAAAAGAACGAGUGACACAUAACAGAGAAAUCAGGGAGUCUUACAUGAUAAAAUAACUUCGAAAAUUCACAGCCCAUGUUGUAAAAUGUGCCAAAUAAGAAUGUCUUCUCUUUCUCACGGCAGACAGAAGGUGAUGAGAAACUGAUGUAGGGCGGGUGAAGUCUGAAAACAUCCCUGGAAACAGAUGAAAAGUUGCUGCCGUUGUGUCAAACAGACAGGAGGGACAGAGUGACACUCAGCCUGAUCCAGGUGUCAGACUGUACAGUGCAGCGGCAGCAGAUAGAAAGAGGGAAGAAAAGGAGAAGAAGAGAUAGACAGAGGGAGGGAGGGAGGCCUGUCAGUCAGUCACAGAGGGGGAGAACGACAGGCCACAAUGGGGCCCUUCAGCGCCUGGCUGAAAGUUGUAAUUUAGCAUGAAGAGCCAUCGAGGGGCGAGCCUAAAUAUAGCCUCACAUAUACAUUGUGUCUUGCAGAGAGAAUAGCAAUUAACAGCCAAUUAAAUGAAUGACUGGGGUCAGCAGCAGCAGAAAACUAAUGGUGGGUGUGUUACUGCACUGCUGGAUAAUCCAAAGAGACAAAGAGAGAGGCUUGGGAGGGAGAGGAGGCAAAUUUCUUCCACGUUUUCCCUUUUCUUUUGAGCAAGGCAGCAUAAUGAGAUUUGAAGGGUUCCAAUUAUCUGUGUCACCUGUGCUUUACAUACAAUAUGUGGCUGACAUGUAAGGCACUCAGACAUAUAAUAACUAUACUGUGAGCGUGUCAUCCUGCGUGUACAUCCUGCUUAAAUAUGGAUGUCUGCAUGUCCUCUUCAUCACAAUGAGACGAGAAGGAGGGAUAAUGUGUUGAGAGACUGUUUGCACAGAACAAGGCUGUUCAGAUAAGUACAGGUGUGAGUGUAUGCCAGUAAUAUCACUGUGUGCAAUUGAAUUUCACCAGUUGCUCCUGAAUUGAUUGGCUGGAAGGUGACAGCUUUACUAAGUCACAGCAGUAGCCUUAGCACAACUGAACUAGUCCCCCUCUAAUUGCCUUUCCUUUGAAAAGGCAACUCCUCGCUUCAAAAAACAAGACGAUUCAUUAACGCUGUGCUGGCAGCCAAACUCCCCUCCCUUUUCCUCACCCCACUUCUCUCUCCCCCCUCACUCUCUUUCCUGCAGCUGAUAACACCUUGUUCAGAACCAGCGAUCAAGGAAGAAUCAUCUCCUCCUCACCCCCAUCUCCUCUGCAACUCCACCUGCAUAAUUGCCGCACCUAACCUUUUCAGCGCUGCCUCCGUUGGGAGUCAGCCAGCCAGCCCAAUUGGGCUGCAGGUAUUAAUAGAAUCUCAUUUCAUGCCUCCAUCGGAUAAAACAAAGGUUGGGUUUUGCGGAGCAAGUUUGAUCCUAUUACUGUGACUGUUGAAGGUAAAGGUGCACUGUGAAUUCACGAAGGUGUGUGUUUGCAUGUGUAUGUAGCAGCAGGGCAAAAUCAUGGAGAGGUAGUCAUCAACAGGGAAAGAAACAUCAACAUGCGCUCCUCAGUACACAGCAUGUGAUCGUGGUUUGGGCGAAAUAAAUGUUAGGUAAGAAUAGCAUCAUGGUUUUGUUUCAACUACUGCCUUUUCCUGACGAUUUUUAUCAGAGCAUUGCUAAUUUCAGGUCCUGGAAAGCAGAUUUGUUGAUGUCAUUUUUUUUUCUUUAUCCAAUAAUCAUUUAAUAUUAUGUUAUCAAUGGUACAUAUUGCCUGUACAGUACAGGUUGGACAUGACAAGAAUUACUAUACUGGAUGAAAGCUCCUGUGAGGCGUUUUAAGACGGUUAUGAAACAGACUUGAAUUGAUACUGAUGACUCUGUGUGAUACAAUCAAGCAAGAUUGACCAAAAAUGACUAUUGAGUAAAAUUCUGGGCGCCCUCUUUUGAAGUCCAUGCCAGACAAGGUAAAUGACAGCACACUGUUGAAGCAGUUUUUUGUUUACAGCUUCCAUAGUAGAGACUGAAAAAUAGAAAGAGAAAAUCACCACCCUAACAGUGCAUAUGACAGAAGAAAUGAGAUUUACAGACCAAAAACACGCUUGAUUUUUCUGCAAAAAUAGGCAUUUUUACACAAAGAUUGACAGGGUGUAUUGGUAAAACCCUCUGGUGGACGCUCAAGGAACUGCACUUUUUUGCAUCGCCAUGUCUGCUUUCUUUUUGACCGGGAGGCCACCAGGACAAGAUCAGUGAUGAGACAGAUGGUACCUUUUUUGACCAACAGAUUCACACAAAUGAAACUUCCUGAUAUCCGAAUGAUAGCUAAAUGUAGCUGAAUAUGCAUACUGUUAGUUUACUAGUAAUAAACUUCUCAUCCCCUUUUUAGUUUAUAAAUGUACACUCUGAAGCAUACCUUUAUUAUUUAUUUCUUCUUUUUUUAUUUUAUUUAUUUUUACUUUGGGGGGGCUUCAAUGGGUAGGACAGUGUGGCAAUGUGGGAAAUAGAGAGAGGGGAGGAUGACAUGCUUGGUAUGAACAGGAAUCGAACCCUUAAUAUGAGGUGUGCAUUAAUCCACUUGGCUAUCUGCGCACUGACUUUGAAGCACAAUUAAAAUUACCUUUUGGUAUGCUAGUAUUUCAAUAGCAGUACAUAUUUGUAUAUUUGUAUCCUGUAACUAAAAGAGAAGCACAUACCUGUUCUGUUUUAGUUUGAAGGUGAUGAUUUGCUGGUAUUUCAAUGUGACAAUAGCAGGUCUUUUUUAACAUGCAUGUUUGAAUUCUAGUCAAUAAUACUUGCUUUUAAAAUUGUGCAACAACUUCUGGCCCAAAUCAUUCAAUUUGACUUCCUACUCUUUUAUUACUGUAUAACACUGUCACUUAACUCACCUUUGGUCCCUGCAUAAUUAUUCCACUUUUGGGCAUUUGCUAAACUGGCUGACACUGUCGAUUUCCACUCUCAUACUCUCAUUAUAUCAUGGUCUAAUCUUGCCAUUUCCUCUGCGUUGUUUUUGUUAUCAAUCCUGGAUCUCCACAGAGCUUAAAAAUGAAUUUGCACCAUGUUUAAUGGUCAAAUGGACUCAUGUCGUGGAUCAUAACCUUUCAGUGCUGCAGUUUAAUGAAACUCAUUAGUGGCUAAACACAAGAUGAGGAAUUCCCGAACUUAAAAUAUUCUCCAUUUUUGUGUCAGUGCAGCUUCUUCAUGUUUACUUCCUUUAAUUAAAUCCCAAAUUAAAGUCUGAUAAUCUAGUUUGUUAUCAUGCCACCUAGAGCUGCUCCUGCUCAUGAAGCAUUUAGGAUUUCUCAAAGAUCGUGGCAUCAUUAAUUUGAUUGAAUUUAAAGAUGAGAUGGUGCAUUUUGGGGGAGGACGCAACAGAGUUAUAUUUUGAGGCAUUUUUUUCUUUAUAUGAUUGGACAAGCUGGAGAGUGACAGGAAAUGUGGGAAGUAGAAAGUGAGGCAAGACAUGCAAGAGAAGGUUAAACCAGUGACUGCUGCAUCAAGGACUGUAGCCUCCAAAUGAGGGGUGCUUAGACUGCAAGACCAUCAGUGCCCUUUUGGGGGACUUUUGAGGUUGCAUAGUAUGAGAUUUUCAAAACAUUGUGGAUGCAGAUUAGACGAUAAUUGGAUAACCACUUUGAACAUUGGUUAAUAUUUGCCUUACAUGCACCAGGCUGGAGCUCAGUUUGCUUUUAAACCUUUAUUCUCUGUGUCCACCUUCAGCAAAGUGAUGAAAUCUUUGUUAAAGAUUUGCUGCAGGUCCUUGAACUGCACAUUGACUGUUCCACCACAUACUAAAGGUGCUUUUUAUGAAUAAGAUCUGAUGAUUGUCAGAGCUUACCAACCAAGUAUCAAGCAUACACAGAUAAUUUUUUUCUCCUCAUCCUGGCUGAUUCUUAGCUAGUUUUGCAUUUUUUUCCAGGGCUCUCACCACUGAUGGAAGCGCAAAGCAGUAUCUGCAGCCCACAGAAGUUGCUCAGGUAGUCGGGUUUCUCCAGGAUGAUCAGAGGGUUCGCUGUGUCUCCCAGCACAGCGUCAAGAGUAUGGAGGAGAUAUUAGGAGGCAGGCUGGUAUACCAUGAGAGGUGGAGGGGGCCAUAGGAGGGCAAGAACCCAGCAGCAGGACCACUAUCUGCUCCUUUGUGCAAGGAGAAACAGGAGGAACACUGCCAGGGCCCUACAAAAUGACCACAAGCAGAUAACUCUGGUCAGAACCAGACGUAUUGCCAUUUGCCAGAGAACACUAGAAGAGGCAGAUUCGCCAUCAGCACUCUGUGUCUCUUCACAGAUGAAAGCAGGUUCACACUGAACACUCUGCUGCUGUCCGCAACAUCCUCCAGCAUGACCCAUUUGGUGGCGGGUCAGUGAUGGUCAGGGGAAGCACAUCCUUGUAGGGCCAUAUAGACUUCGAUAUGCUAGCCAGAGGUACCCUGAUUGCUGUUAGGUACCAGAAUGAGAUCCUCAGACCCAUUGUCAGACCAUGCAUACAGGCACAAAGAGGCCAAACACACUACUGAGCCACAUUAUAGUGGGUUAAAUAGCUUAUAAGAAAGGCAUAGAUAUUGGAAUGAGAGCUAUAGAUUUCUUCACUAUGUACUUAUUCUUUUCAUCAGACCACCAGUAUCUUGUGUUUAUUUCAAAUGAUCUGGAGAGAAGUUCACUAUCAUAAGAGAGGCAAAAAAGACUCCAAAGGUUUUCAUGAGAACCAGAAUUUACUUUUACAACUACCAUCUACAAGUCAUUUUGUUUUUAGAUUUGUCUUUCAUUGGUUAUUUUCUCUUAUUUGGACCAUUAAACCACAGAGAUGAUUGCACAUAAAACCCCCAGUGAAACGGCACUUUCUGAAAUACUGAAUACCACAACACCACAGUCAAAGUUACUAAUGCUUGAUUUGAACUUCAGCUGUUGGUCCUCUUGAGCAUGUCUCAGAGCCUCAACACGCUGGUUUAUUGUAGUUUGCUGUUUAUACGAUUAGAUACAGGGACAGCUGUCGCUUUACGUGGCUGGUGAACGCACGUCAGCUGAUGUAUUGUGAAAAGUACAGGGCAGCAUGUGCUUAGAAAAUGUCCUUUUUCUGACAUAGGGUCCUUUGUGGUAUUAUACUUUAAUAGCACUGUGCUGCUACUAUUUAGGGACUACUGCCUGUCUCGACAUAUACUGACUGAUGUUGGCCGCUCAUGUAUGAGAUGCAUCUUGGGAAAUCUUUUAGAUGAGUGAGCCCAGUAUAGAGCGUGAUGGAGUGAGCUUUCUGCUUCAUGGUCAAAUCCCUACCGUAGUGAGGAAUGUACACGCCAACAUCCACGUUUACAAUGUUAGCUUUUUAUCAUUAGUCUCUCUCGUCUGUCGCUCUCUCUGCUUGAGCUCCCUGCUUCUGGCUCGUCUUUGUAUCUUUCCACUCCGUAACCAAGGCUGUGGAAGACUCUUUGCAGGCUGUUUUUCUUGCCUUAAUAAUGCAUAGAUGUUGUGGGUGAUGGCAAAGGCAUCUUUGUUCAGGGAAUCCCUGGUGUGACACAAAUUGAUGGAGAUCUAUGAGAAUCCAGCUUGUUACGAGGGAGUUGGGGCCAUUUAUUGGGGGGGGGGAUCAGGGGGUUGCAAGGGGGCAGAUAGAAGGCAGAAGAGGAGGGAGGGGCGCAGCAGGUCACCGAAGACCAGCCACCGGCUCUCAUUUAAAAAACGAUCGAGAAUGACAAAGGUUUGCUUUCAUCUAGGGUUGGGGAAAGGAACAGAGAGGCGAUCAUUAUACAACAUUCACAUACACCCACAUGUGCGCACACACGCACGCUCACACGCACGCUCACACACACACACAUUCACACAGCUCAGUGAGUCUGCUAACCUCAGCUCAAACCUUUGUAAAUUAAAAGUCUGACCAGAAAAAGCAUUUAUGUGCAAUACGUGUGAUGAGGAGGUGUGUGUGUGGGUGGGUGGGCUGCUGUCUUAAUUAGGAAUUAAUGAGGGGGGCAGGGUGAGGUAAGAAGUGAGGGCCACAUAGAGUGAGGGAGGGUGAGAGAGCGAGAGAGAGAGAUAAAGAUAGAGAGAGAGAGAGGAGGGGAUUACCUUGCUACAGUUUGGCGAGUGGGAGGGAUUCUCCUCUCACUCUUGUUCCCUGGUGGACGGAUGGGACAGGGAUCUCACUGAAAAAACAGCCGCCACACCUUCCUGUGUGGUGGACUCAUAUCCUCAUGACUUCUCAUCAAGAACACUAUGAUGUGGACCUGUGUUUUUUUCACGGACAAACCUUUAUCUCUAGAUUAAAAACGCUUUCUCCUCUGAGUAGAGAGGAUUUGUGUGAAACACUGCUGAGAGUCUGUAGGGAGAGUUCCACUUUCAACAAUUAUUUCUCAUUUUCAUUUGCAUCAGAAUACAUUAAUGAGAAAUGAGACCCUGCCAUAUACUUCAUGGUUCAGGCCUUUCACAGGAAUCUAAAUAAAGUGGGGUUUCUUUUUUCUUUCUUGUCUUCCUCUCUUUUCAUUCGUCUCUGUUUCCACACCAUCUACGUCCGUUCUUUUCUCAUCUAUAUUUAUGCACUCCAUGCUGAAAAGUUCUUCUGCGUUCAGAGCGAAGCUGUGCGUGUCUCCUCACUGCAAUUACUGAUUAAUUACAGGGAAUUAAAGCAAUUAGAACUGCAGAGAUAUACAAUUAACGAACACACGCUUCAUGACGCCACACACAGGCUGUGCAGUCGCUAGAUUGCAGUGCAAAUACCUCUCUUUCUUGUAAUCUCAUGCAGAUUUUCUUUCAUUUUCUCUUUCACUCUCCAGAUUUGUACUCCACAAAUAUGCACUGACAUACACAGACACACAGAGCAGGAUGGGGGCAGGUUUUCCAGUUCAUUAGAUAGUAUUUAAUUUGAAAACACCUCUGUGUUGAGGGAGAUGUGAGCCCUCCCAGGGGAUGAAAACUGAAGCGGGAGUGGGCGAUGAGAAAGGGAUUCCUCCAUCUGUCCCCCUCAGUUCUACAAAGUGGAGACAGCAGACACCAUCAGCUCCUCUGCAAACUGAGAGAAAGGGGGUAAAAGCGGUCUAUGUGAAGACUUCAGAGAGGAUACCCAGAUUUAUACCGCUGAAAAAGAAUUUAACUGUACAACUGUAGCCUGGGGUGCCAGUUUAGCUCAGCUGGUGGGGCAGGUGGCUCAACCACAGAGGCUAUAGCUCUUGUCACACUGGUGGUAGGUCACCCGUUUAAGUAUGAGUUGGUACAUAUUAGGCCUGGGCGAUUUGGCAAAAAAGUUAUCACAAUAUAUUUUGUCAUAUCUUCCGAUCUCGAUUGUUAUCACAAUUUCUUUUUUAAACUGCCAGUUUUAAAGCAUCUGUACUAAAAACUAAAGAAACUAGAGAUUAGUUCAACAUUUUAUUAAGAUACAAAGUAAAUAAAGAAUAAGAUACACUAAGAAAAAUAUAAAAAACAUUUUAAGUGUGUUUUUGCAGGUAUGCAGGACCCACAAUAAACAAAUCGCCCCCUCGGGGAUAAUGAAGACGCCUUAAAAUGUAAACAUUCGAUGAUGUAAACGUAGAUGAUAAGAUUGAUUGCUUUGGUCUGGUCGCUACUUCCUGCUUGCUCCUGUCAGUGUUAGUCGUCGUCCUUUUUUGGUGAACAAAAAAACCUCUUAUAUCCAUUUUUGCUUACCGUCGAGUCCACCUUCCGCCACGCUGAGUCCGUCUAUGAAUAUUUGACCUUUAAUUCAGUAAGCGGCCCGUCCCCCUUUACCUGUAAUUGGCUAACAUGUUGCCUGUGAUCGAUUGGAUUGGUCAGAUUGAUUGACAUGUCAAGAUUGAUGGGAUUAACUGAAGAUAACUACUCUGACGGAAAAAACAAACCCCAAAUCAAAUUAACAGAAAAUUUUGCUUUUAGUCUAGGGCGGGCACAGCUGACUUGGUGGGCGGGCACGGCCCUCCAAUGCCCCUAAAGGAGAUGCAUAUAAACUAGUGCUACCAGCAAUCAUCCAUUUUCAAGGGGCUGUUAUAGAUGGAUGCAAGUCAUGGCACUUCAGUCAGGAUCACAAAACUGAGUUUGUUAUGUAACCUUUUUUGUACUCACAAUAAGAAUGUAAUGACUGCAUAUUUAAAAGUCUUGUAUACUUUCACAACUCCUCUCCAAUGACCUGGUUAACUUAGCUUUGUCUAUUGGCAGAUAGCGAGUGAACUGUCAGCCUACAGUGUUCAAAAACACCAAAGUUCUCCUUACCAUCUCUAAAACACUUGAUGUGAAAAAGAAAGAAACAAACUCAGGGUACAUUGUGUUUUUCACAAGAAUAAUGUGAUGAUUACAUUAACUGUGGAGUCUGUGUGGACAACAUUAACACAUUAAGCUCGAAAACAGCCUUGUUCACAAUACCCCAUUAAACCUCAAGCUGUUGUUUUUACACUGCAAGGACGAUUAAGUGGUAGCCUUGAUCACAGGAGCAAAUUUCACUCCUCUCAAUGGUUUAAAAGUAACUAUCCAUGAAAACAAAUCUUGUGUCAUGAAAUGUAUGAGAGUAAUUGCAUCAAAGGUGUAAACCAUAACAGUGCUUUGAGUCUGAUUCCUGACUUGUUUUCAUAAGAUUCAUUUAAACAGCCUUGUUAUGAUGUCAGACAGGUGCUGACAAGUAAAAUGAAACUAUAAUGCACCAAACAAAUCACUUGCUUCAUUAAAGUGUCAGCGGGUGAAAAACAUCCAGAAGAUAAUGUAACAAAACUUACACAGGGCUGUUCUGAUCUGUCCUGAGUAAUAAAAAAACAGGCAAAUAUUAAUUAUCUGAUUUAAUGCAAAAUAUAUUUGCUCAUCAGAGGUGUGAUGGUGGCUCAGCUGCUUCACAGAUUCCCAGCCUUUGUGGUGUUUGCAUGGGUUUCCUCAUGACGCUCGACUUCCCUCCCACACUGCAGGAAAUUUGUUAGGUAAGAAUAUGACUGUGAGUGAGCGUUUGUCUAUCUGCGAUGGCCCUGUGACUGACUGACUGACUGACUGGCUGACUGACUGACUGGUGAUCUUUUCAGAGUCCCCGGUGACUGUGAAAAGGAUUGAGUGGGUAGAGACUAUAAAUGAAUUCUUGACUUUCUCACCCAGUUCUGCGGAAAUGUGAUUGUGCCAGUGUUUCAGAGGCUGUGGUUAAAGUGAAUCACUGUGAGUUAGCGCUGCAAAGACUGAUUUCUGUUUUCUGUUGAGAUGCAACAAAUAAUUUCCAACGUGGGGAGAAACAACGGCAGAGGCACAGAAGCGCUUGAAAAGGAGAGCAGAGCAGUAAGCGCACAUGCCACUAAACUAAAACAAGCAUAAACUGCACUGUUUUUGUACAGUAAAUGACAACUGACAGCGAUAACUUUGACAGCCUAAAGACAAAAAGAGGGAUUUGGAGUUUGGAGGCCUCAUCGUCCCCUCUCUUGAGUUUCCACAACAAUAACAUGCGUUCACAUUGAGCGGUGCAUUAUUUGAAAAGCAGAGAGGUUGAAGGGGAAAAACAAUUUGAGUAAACAGUUGAGAGACGAAACAGUGAAAUAAAUAAAACCUGUAGCAGAGAGAUUGAUAGGUGACAGGAUGCUCCUCUUCUUCUCAGUCUCGCUCUUUCUCCAGCACUCAGAGUAUGAUGCCCUGAAGCGAUGCCCACGGAUACACUCUCCUUUUUCCCCCCACCUCCUUUGCCUUUAUUUAAGUAAAAAGCACACCGUCUGUGUGACUUGUAUGAACUCUGAGCUCUCUCUUUGCGUUUAAAAACUUUUCUCACCUGCACAAAUACAUCCCAUGCAUCUACACGUAUCAGAGCGGCGCACCACAAUAAACCUGUCUUCUUUACCAUGAUUCCACAGCACACCGCCAGCAUCGCUUAGACCUUAUAUAAACGCUGAAAUAUUCAUACACAGGCAUAUCUCCCUCUUCUUUUUUUGCCCAUUUUCAAAGAGGAACAUUUUUCUGCACUUAAGGGUUUGCUAUAUUUAUGAGGAGAGCAGGGCAUGUGUCCCCAAGGCAGCACACAGUGACUCAUCCCAGGGUCCUACUGCAGAGAGGAGACAAGCCACAGACCACACUCUCACAUCUGUUGCAACACACACACAGAAACAUAUACAUUCAAAAGGGAGGAAAAUCAGACAUUACUUUGGAGAGAGGAGGUCAGGGUUCCUCUAAAAGGGAAGAGACAUAUUCAUUUGUAUAAUCAGCAAGAUGAAAAGGGUGUUAAAAGGUUUUAAGGAAAAUGCUACAAAAACAUGGGUAGUUGUCGAAACCUCAGUGAUCAGAAGAUUUUGCAGAAAAUCUGAAGUACUUCAGUAUUUACUUUUGAACUCAAAUUUUUAAAAGAGAGGCAAUAAUAAUGAUCUGUUGGUUACACAUCUCACACUAUAUGCACACACACAUACACGCACGCACACACAUUCAAGCCCCUGCACGUGUUUACCCAAACAGCAUAAAAUUUUCAUACUGUGUUUCUCCAGAAUUUUUUUCUCGCCAGCAUUCUUGGAAAUUUUUCUAAAUGAAGCAUGUCAUAAAUCCAAGGCUGCAAAAUAUCGUAUUACACUUCAUAUAAGCUACUUUCAACUGAUAUGUUCAAAUACAUUGAAAUACUUAACUAUUUUAUUUCUUGAUAAGCCACUUGACAUAAAUCUAAUCUUGUUUCAUGAUAUUUUUCAUAAAGAUUUGUGACAAACGCAUUGGCAUCAUUUUGACUCUUUAACAUUAAAUUCCUCAUUUUAGGCUUGUAACAGUAAGCCCUGUCUGAACAGCCCUGACUUCAGUCUGAAGGGAUCAUCUACAAAGUGCUAUUCUGACAAAAGAUGCAACAAAGAUAUUCAACAAUGUCCCCUGGAUAGGUGCAAAACCAAAAUCACUUCACACAUAAAUGCUUCGGGUUUUAUUACAAGAACUAGUUUGUGGGAAUACAGUACCUUUACAAAAUUUGGGGGGCACAUUUUACUCUCUGACCCCCUCCACGACAGGUUUAAAGUAACUACUUAAAACUCAAGGUAAGUUUUAAAUAGAAGUUUUAAAAAGUACAUUUCUGUCUUUAUAAAGUAUCAGCACGCUGUAUGGAGCCCACUCUAGAUAUUUGCCAGAAGGCUAAUAGCCUGCUUCAGCUUCGCCCUCUCGCCUGUGUUGACCCAAAGUUAGGAGAUUCAAGCCUGGUGCCAACCAAUGUUUGGCUCCAGAACCUGUCCUAAAGCUCAUGGAUGACAGCACUGAGACUGAGGCACAUUUACUACAAGCUAUGUUUUCAACCACUUCUCCCCCCUUUCUACCGACAGUCUGUGAGACCCAUAACCUGCCCUUUAACUUUAACACAUCAGACAUUCAGAUUAUGUUCACACAGAAAAAGAUUUGUAUAGUGGAUUUGGUUUGACAGCUGCUGCUUGUAAGAAAACAUGAACGUGAAUCUAGAGCAACUGAUCCAAAAUUAGUCACACUUCUUGUACCUAAAGUGUGAUCAACACAGGGAUCAAAAAAGUCUUCAGGAAACACUGAGUGGGAACCAAAAAUGUCCAACCAUGUUUUACCUGAUUACAAGAACUGAGAAGAAUGUGAUAAAGGAUAACAAAUGCAUCAUGUCGUCCACAUUCUUACCACAAAUGUCACAGUAAUGAAGGGAUUUACAUGUUUUGUGCCAGAGUGAAUUUUAUGUCAAAGAUGAACUACAAUUAAACAUUGUUCAAACUAAAGACAUAAACAUAAAAAAAACAUAAAAACAAAACAAAACCAGAGUCAAAUAAGUUUGUCUUUUUCAUGUUCAGAAUGGAGUGAGAGGAAGUCGAAACUAAUUUAGUCCCACCCCUUCACCUUGAACGAAUCAUCAAUAAUUAAUUUACCUGCUUCCAGUUAAUAAUAAUAACAAUAAUCAUAAUAAUAAUAUCACAACAUAAACAAAAGAACCAAAUAAUAUAUUAAACCACAUAUUAAUGAGGAGAAAAAUGAAUAAAUGAAAAAACAAAGAAACAAAAGGAACCAUGUCAGCUUUCAGCGGCAUUUACGCACUUGCAUUCUUGUACCUUCUAAAGAUCAUAUUUUCGUACUUUUUCCUAAACUGCCAUAUGUUUGGACAUUGUCUCGAUUCAUCAUUCAGACAGUUCCGAAGUUUCACCUCAUAAACAGAUACACAAAGGCUUUUCCUUGUAGUUUUUACUUUUACAUUAUAAAAACAAAACAAUCCCCUCAAAUAAUAUUUUCCCUCUCUCUGACAGAACAUGCCCUAGAUAUUUCCUGGUAGUUGAUUAUUCUUUGCUUUGAACAUGAUUGUGCUGUUUGAUAUUCUAUUUGGUCAGUGAACUUUAACAGUUUUGAUUGAAGAAACAAUGAAUGUGUAUUAUCCCUAUAACUUAUUCUGUUAAUGACCCUUACUGCUCUUUUUUGAAGAAUGAAUAGAGAUUGUAGAGAGCUCUUCUUUACCCUAAACCUCAGCACAGAAGGUUAAAUAUGGUGAAAAUAGAGAACUGUACCAGAAUGUGAAGUGAGUUAUUAUCUAGAACCUGUUUUGCUUUGUUUAGUACUGCAAUCAUUUUUGAGUCUUUGGACUGUAGAUGUUUUAUUUGAGGUUUCCAGUUAAGAUUUUCAUCAAUAAUUACUCCCAGAAAUUUGGUUUCUGUUACCCUUUCAAUGUCCACACCAUCAAUUUGAACCGUUGUUUGUUGAACCGUUGUUUGUGUAAUCUUUCUGCCCUUCCUGAAUAUCAUUAUUUUUGUUUUGUUUAGAUGUAUUGAUAGCUUAUUUAUAUUAAACCAUGAUUUUAAUUUACUCAUUUCUGAGUUAUUAAUGAAAGUACUUCAUUCAGAUCAUUCCCUGAACAAAAUAUAUUCAUAACAUCAGUGAACAGGUUUCAAAACAUCUGUAACAUUACAUAUAUCAUUAGUGUAUAAAAAAAACAGUUUGGGGCCCAACACUGACCCCUGAGGGACUCCACAAACAGUGUCCAAACUUGAUGAGCAGCUAUCUCCUAACUGAACAUACUGUUUUCUAUUGUCCAAAUAGCGCCAAAACUACCCCUCUGAUUCCAUGUAAUUCAAGGUUUUUAAUUAAUAUUUUAUGAUCUAUGGUGUCAAUUUUUCUUUUUGAAUCAAUGUAUAAUCCUCUUGCAUAUGCUUUUUGAUCGAUGGCGUUUGUGAAUUUUGUUUUGUUUCUUGAGGUGACAUCCUUUCCUGGUGAGUCAGUUCAGAGACUAAAUCAGAAUACUGACUGUGAAUCUCUGAACUGACUGAGGCCAUGAUACGAUGGUGCAAUGGUGCAGCAGAGAUUAUUGCAGAAAUGGGGCAAUAAGAAAAAAAAAACUGACAAAAGGCUGUGUUGUGUAUCUUUUCCCUGUGCAUCAUUACUCCAGCAAGGCUGCAGAAUACCAAAGCACACUGUACUAAACAUGAAAAGGACUUUACCAUCACAGUUUCCCUCCUGUUUCCCACAGAACAGUUUAACACAUAAUGACCGUGCAGCCGUAUACUCACACAAAUGAUAUCUAAUGCAUUCAGCUCUGAUAAUGUGCGCUGUGGCAUGUUGCAUUUCCGUACUGCUGCUCAGUACAUCAUCGUCACAAGAAGCCAUUAUGGAAAUACAGCACCUGAGGGAAGAGAGACGGAAAGAUGGAAGGAGUUGUCAGAGGGAUUGAGGGAAGGGGGAAGACAAAAGAAGGAGGUAGUUUUGUGCAAGGGUAUGAGAAAAGUAAAGGGGAGCUUACACAUAGAAAUAAGGCGUAAGGACAACAUUAUAUUCUUAUUGAGUUAUGAAAGGUCUUCUGAACUUUUACAAUAAAUCCAAUAAAUUAUAUAUAUGUAAAAAAAAAAUGUUGUUUUGACAGGAUAUAACACCUCAGUUGCACUGUAUGGAUAGCUAGCCGGUAUCUUAAACAUUUGCCCAAUUGUCUCUAAAGUCAUCCUGUAGCCAGGCUUAAAUGCAUUUCAGAUGCAUCAUCUUAAAGAACUAAAGGGAUAAAAACUUAUGUUGGGAUUUUGAGAGACUGGUAUCUCAUAAAUUAAAAAAAAAAAAAGGAGCAUAAAAAUUUUCUUGUAAUUCUGAAACAAUAUUUUUCAUAAUCUAGAAAACAGGGACAUUUUCUUUGUCUCUUUAUUUUGAGCUAAUCAUUCAAUUAAUUAAAAAAACACAAGGCUUUUUUUCCCAAGUGAAUUCAAUAUGCUUGAAUAAAGAGCUGCUUUAGCAUGAGUAUUUAAAAAGCUUUUGCCAUCUUUUGGAAUUUCCAGUUCCUAUGCAUCCUCACCUAUUUCUAUGUUAGCUCCUUUCUCAAUGACAAUACCAGAUUGGCAUAAAGGAAAGUUAUAUUUGCAGGAUUGACAGCCCCUAAGAAGACUGUACUACAUUCAUGGAUUCAUUCAUUCAUCACCCAUAAUCAAUAACAUUUAAAUUCAUGAUUUAUCAUCAAACUUCUUUGGAGAAGAGGUUGCCUCAUUAAACAUUUGUUUGACAUGCUUACGUUUGGAUUUUUUUCUAUUUUGGGUUUCGAUUGCUUCAUUUCCUGUUUUCCACUUCUGUUACAGAACUAGAUUCAACAGUAAAAUAAAGUGUAAAUGUUCAGUUUAUCAGCAAACCAAAGAGGAACAAGCUCUGUUGUUUUUGGAUUGACAAUAAAUCUUGAACAUCAGUUUUAAAAGUGCCUCAUUAUCUGUCAGAGGACUGCUUCCGCUAGCUUGGCUACUUCUUUGUUGUCCUUCAUUUUAUGUCAUGUGUUUUACAAUGUUUUUUAGUAGAAUGAUGUCGGUAUAUACUUUUUAUAUAUUGUUUUUAAAAGAUAGUUAACAUCAAUACUAUUACCACUGACUACUAUAAACUUUUUUGAACAAAAACUGUCCUUCAUAUCCUACCUUCACUUAUUAUUCUUAGAAUAUGUGUGCACUUUAUCACCUCCUCAAUGUUGAAUCUGGUCUUUUAAUCCAAAAAUUUCUCAGGAUCUAAACUUUUCUAGAUGUCAGGGGAGACGUUCAGUGUCUUUUUGGCGCUUCGCUUGUUAAAUACGGUGAUUCAAAGUACAGAUCAAUACAAUCUAAGGUAACUUUUAAACACUGACUGUGAGACCUUCACAUUUAUGGAUCUUUUCUGACUUUUUUUUUGUAUCCUUGAAGAGCAGCUUAAACACUUUUAAGAGCUGUAUGCAACUCUAUCACUUCUGUUGCAACAUCACCUCGCAUGUGUUUCCUCCUGAUCCUGUGCACACCAUCUUUCCCUCGCUGGCUCUUUCUUUUCACCAUUAUCAUAGUCUCACCUUUCCUCUUUCUGUUUCUCUUUAACCCUUCACCACCACCACCACUACCACCUUAGUCAAUAACACACAGUGACAGCUUAUGUAACGUGCCAAGUUCCAAACUGAACUCAACUCUCCUUGAUCUGCAGCCUUUUCCCUUGUCUAAAUGACUCACUUCUUCUGUUAUAACACUUCAGCCCGAGUGAGAGACACAGCGAAGGGGGCUGGGGGAGGGGUGGCAGACAGAGACAUGACAUGAGAGGAGAGGAAACGCAGGUUUAAUUAUUCAUACCUACUGCAGUAAGAGAGGAGAGCGAGCGAGGGACAGAGCGACACCGGCGACAGGAAAAAAGGGAGGGAUGGAGAGACAGAGAGAGAGAGAGAGAGAGCCUGACCCAAAUGGACGAGGUAUUCCUAGGGCAGUAGUGCACUCUGGGAGCCAAAGCUGUGCCACCCCAGGGCCAUGGGUGUGAGGGAACUCCAACAUUAGCUGCCAGAAGAGCUCAGACGGGAACAAAGAGGGAAGGAGGGAGAGAUGAGAGAAAAAGAGAUGUUCAUGAGUUCCAUGAAAACUCGCCCCUUAGAUUUAUUCUGCUUCCCUAACGCACUUUUGCUGUUAUCUAUGUUCAAUUCGCUUUUUACUUUCCCUCGAGUCCACCACGCCCCGUGAACAUGACUAAAACGGAGACUGGAAGUUUUAUCUGUAAUGCUCAUUUGGGACCAUUUCCUCCAAGGUGUGUGUGUGUCUGUGUAUGUGCACUUCUAAACAGGGGUGGUGGCCAUGAACUGGAGGACCCAGCAACUGUCGUCUCACUCCGGAGAUGCUUCAUCCCAGAGAUGGUGUGCUGCUGCAGGGAUGAGUGUUAAGACAGCGCAGGGCCUCCCCGUUCAGCACCAGAACUCCCCUGAGACCGGCUCCCUUUCAUCUUCAUGUCUCCUCAGGGUGCCCAACAACAAACCACUGAUGGAGGAAGAGUGGAAAGAAGCAAAGAGGAUGAAAAGGAGGGAAGUUUUGGCCAGAGGGGGAUGACAGCAAAGCUUGUGCAUUCGCAUGUAAGGGGUCAACCUGUUCUGUUUAUCUUAGUUUGGCUGGUACUAUUUGAGAAUGGAGUCAACAUCGCCUUGUUUUUCCCUCUUUCUCACCAGAGGUUAUGGAUGCGAGGAAAUUUAAUGUGCAUAUCAAACAUGGGUGUUAGGGGGGCUGAGUCAUCAUGCCCCCAACUCCCUGUUUUUGAUUGGACCCAGUUUGUAAGUGUUUGGCUAUCUGGUUAGUAGGCGGUAAGAAUUGAAGUUUUUGGGCUUGUAACAACAAAGUGCUACACUGUAGCAUUUCAGUGUUGCAUUAUUUUGUCUGUUCAUUUCAUUGUGUAUUGCUCAUUGUGUUAAGUGUGUUGCUCCUCUGUUGAGUUAUUUACAUGGGAAUGGAACGCCUGUAUGAUUGUGCAAAGUUCUUGAACUAUCCAUUUGUGUUCGUUUUGGCGCCCCCUGUGGUCAAAGCAGUAGUUCACUUCUUGUAGUGUUUUUGCAUAGACUGUGCAGAACGUGGAAGUAUCUCUGUGACAUCAACCAUAGGCUUCCUAAGAAAGCUCUGAAGCCAAAUGACAAUGGUCCCCUUAUUGAAAAUGCUGGCACAGCUUAACUUUUGGUGAGAGACAAAGAGGUAAAGCUGAGGUGUAAACCUCGUGGUCGGCAGCUACAUAGUCGCUACCUGUAAGUCAAAAUACCAUGGUUCUGUAGAUCUAUCCUCAACUUGCAGCCUCAACAUCAUCAAAACAGUUGGGUCAUAAAACCGUGUUUGAUCCAGACUAUAAUGUGUUCACACCAGAUGCAAACAAAGUUAUUAAUUCACCUGAAUGUUCUUUGUUUACUCGCUCAAUUUGAGUGAAUGACUCGCUCUCUAAGCAUGCUCUGUUUGUGUGCCAUGUCACAUUUACGGGAGCGCGAAAACACAUGAAUUAAUCCAAGAGAGGAAGGGUUCCUUUUUACUAUUUGUCUGUUAACUUUAACCAUAGAUAUGAUAUUAGAUAGACUAAAUUAGAUACAACUUUAUUUAUCCUUUUGGGAAGGUUCCCUCCAGGAAACAAACAUGUAGAAAUUGACUACAUUGUGAGGAUCUGUUGUGUUAAAACAUUCCUCCUUUUCCUCACUUUUCUCUGAGUUUCUUUAAACCCCUCUCUCAGAAUCAAAAUCAAGUUGUAUUGUUUGGAUCAUGAUCAGUAGCUCAUAUUGUCACGAUCAGUAUAUCCUCCAUUUUCCUCACCAGGGGAUCUCCAUGCUUAUUGGUUAUCACAGCAUGAGUGUUUAGCUCAACAUCAGAUUUCAGCUACUGCAAAUAAGCAGCUUAAGUGAGUAGGGUGUUGAACGUGUGGUGGAUUUGUUUCAUUCAUGUGUAUGAUCCGUUUAAUCAGAGUAGUCGCCUCAUUCUGCUGUUUUAAGAGGCAUUGUAACAAUAAUGUUCAUUUUAGUUUUGCUGCCACUCUCUAGUGGACAAGGUGCCGUGUUUUUUGUGCUUCUCCGCAGCCUUCAUUUUUCAGCAUCAGAGGAUACUUGUUGUUUAUUUUUUUUUUGACAAUAACAAAAAUACUUAUUCUGCUUAAUAAUCAAAAGUCACAUUCUUUGAGAUUAUUUACCUUAAAUGUGAAAAAACCUUUGGUUUGCAUUUUGGUGUUUUUAAGUGAAAGACGCCAAGGGUAACUUUUCUGCUUCUGCAGAGGAAACUGCAGUUAAUUCAUAACCCAUGAAAUUUUCUGGAUUAAAUUGGAUUUAAGACAUACAGAUGAUGUCAACUUGAUACACUUUUGAAAUCCAUUUUAACCCCAGUGAUUUUAAAGGCAGGCUUGACGAUCUGAGAAGCAGUUGAAAAAUACUGAGCCGUUGAGGCAGAUUUGAAAAAAGCCUCCCAACCCCCACACACAAACCUCUCCCCUCCGAACCUGCAUCUCCUUCCCCACGACACACCUCUUCUGGCAGAGCAUGAAGCCGGCCGGCAGAAGAUCCUACGCUAGCUUCAAAUAGGAUUGCCCAUGUCGAAUUGCUAGUGACCAGCUCUGCUAGCGAGCACCGUCUGCAGCUGCCUGGACAGCUACCGUGUUGACAUCGCAGAGACUAAUAAGAGUUAUUUAUGUAACAUGUGCCACGAAAAAAGGCAAAAAUUACCUGUUCAACAAAAACUCUGCUGUCUGGGCGUCUGUUUUCAGGCCCAAAUCCUGGCGGAGCUUUCUCCACCACUCGAAGGAUGACCCGAUGUUUAUUCGAGUUAGAUCCUCGCUUGGUCACAUUUCCUCUUCGACUCUGCCCUUUCUUCUGUCAGCUUGCAUUUUAUAAGCACUUCUGGCGGAGGGGCAAGGUGAAGUGUUUUUUGCGUCCUUUUCCAUCACAGCUCCUGUUGCUAAGCUGCUACGUUACUUUUAGUCACUCAGAGCUCCGGGGAGGGCCAGGAGAGUGGGAGGAGAUGAGUCGGAAACACGGGAGAGGGGUGUGCCGAAUACAACGAGGUGAUUGGAUGGAGAGAAGGAGAUUGACCAACGGGAGCUGUCCAGGACGAAUGGCUCCCAUUGGUCAAUGUUUUUGCAACCCUGCACCUGCUAGAGUGAACAGAUUUUUUCCGUUGUUUUUUCUCUUCACUUUGUGGAGAUCGCACUAUAGGACCAUGAUCGCCAUAGAAACGAGGUUCAUAAUAAUUACCAAUCUCUCCAAUCAUCAACCAUAACUUUAACUAUACUUGUUAAUGACAAGUUACAAACAUCAAGUUAAGUUCUGUAAAAGGUGCUAGGGUCACCGUGUCAACAUUUCCUUGAAUGUCUAAGGCUGGACUUGCGACGCCUAUAAGUCCGUGUGCCUGAGGGGCCUUUACAGUCAAAUCAUUUUAGACAUGCUCCUGAUGUCAAAAAACAAUGUUCUGUAUUUUAUCUGCUUUAGCUGCAACAGGAAGCAACAGCAGUUCCUUGGACGGGGAGGUUGGAGCGUCUUAAUAAUUCAGGAAAAGGAUCUGGGCCUUUGGGUGGUGGCCCGGCUGAUUAGCAGUGAUGUAUCUUUGUUGAUGGAGGGAGUGAGGGAGGAUAAGAACAGGAGUGAGUUUAAUAGAUAUGAGUUGUGGCAGGUGUUGGACAAUGACGGGAACAAAAAAAGAGAUUUGAACACUGCACUUCAAAAAACCUCGUUCCCCUUUCUAUUCUGUGUGAGCGCUGCCUUAUCCAGCGUUGACUCUUUCUUCUUCUCUCUUUUUCCUCUCUUAAUUGCUGCUCACUGAAUCCCUUGUUCUUUCUUCUCAUCCCCCUGUGUUCUCCUUGUCUCCCUCCUCAGCUCCCCAUGUCCCCAUGUGUCUCCCGUCUUGGGUUUUAAUGUUGUCCUCUUGAAAUCUCUGUCCCCCCCUCCCGCCCCUCUCUUUGGAUUUUCCUCUCUCUGCUCCUUCUUUUAUUCCCUUCAUCCUCUCCUUCUCUGCAUUCCUUUUGCGAUGAGACACUCACACAUGGUUUUUUUAGGAGGCAGUGAGUUGUCACGGACGCAGUGACUAAACUUCCGAUAAAAUCAAUGUUUAAUUCAGAUGACUGCAGGCCAUUGACAGAAAAAGUGGAAGCCUUUCAUCUAUAAAAAGGACUGAGAAAAACAGGGGGAUUGAGAGAGGACUGACAGGAUUAAUGGAAUUGUCAUCAGACGUAUCUUUAGCAUCGAGAGGGAAACCAUCAGCGCUCUGUUACCAGCUCUUUAUAACCCGAAUGUGUGUGACAGAGUAUGUAAAUGAUUUCUUCUUUCACCUGCUGUUCAUUCUUCCUCCUAUCUUCCUGUAUCCAUCUGUUUCAUCUCUCCGUCACAUGUGCUUCUUACACUCCUGAUGUCAGAUCUUCUUGUUCUCACAUCUUACACAUUCAGGGUAUUGGUCUUAAUUAAACGUUUCAUAUGGGAACUUAAUGAAUCUGGUUAUUAACAGGAAAAGCGAAAAAACUUGUUGAGCUCUUGCCGCAUUUCAGUGAAAUACAUCACACUUACAGAUGUGCACAUAUAAUCACAGACUGUCUGCAUGCGAAUGUGCCUACAGACGAUGGCACGUGUAUUUAGACAUCAACCCUGCUGGCACUGUGUUCAAAUGUCAGACCUUUAACCUUCUGAAUCUGACCCGAGGUGGCAUCCGGGCAUGUCAGACGCUGACUAACACGUGCAGACUGAUCCAAUAUAGACACAUAAUAGAAAAAAAAGGAAGAGGAAUAAACUAGGGCCCCGUUGGGGCACUGGCGGGCCCGAGCUGUGUCGCGCCCCCCCCCCCCCCCCCCAACGCGCUGCCUCCCCGUCCCAUUCGCGUCCUCUGGCCAUCGCCCUCUCUGGUAACGCCCAUCACUGCAAAGACCCUUUUCCUUCAUCGGCGUUUGCUGUUCUUCCUGCCAGUGCGUGUUGCUUUCACUUACACUUGCCACAGCCAGCCUCGUGAGUGCCUAGCCUAUUGGAUAUCACUGUCACCUACACAGGACAGUCAUUACCUUUCUAUUAAUACUUUGUGUUUUAAUUUCACAUUAAUUUCCAUAUUGUAUAAACGACUGGAAAAAACUUGAGCCCCUGCCCCUGUAUAAUCAUGUGCACGUCUCUGUUCUAGCUUCAAGGUGAAUCUUCACUGCUCAUGUUCUCCUCAGAAGCACUCACCUCACUCCCCUCAGGUUACUGUACACAUGCACCAACUGCCUGCUUCAGGUUUGGAUGGAGCUUCAUGGUUGUCUUUUGGAGAAAUGACCAGUCAAGUUGUGUUUGAAAUUUAAUUUUUUUCAGGGGCAAAAGGAGCCUCUGCAUUCUUGUCAAAUAUGUAAAUAGCAUGUUUUUGCAGGUGCUAAAAACCAGACUCUGAGUGUGUGUGUGUGUGUGUGUGUGUGUGUGUGUGUGUGUGUGUGUGUGUGUGCGUGUGUGCGUGUCUGUGUGUGCGUUCAAGUCACAUGACAUAUUUAACCGGAUGUAGCUGCAAGACGGAGCCUCGUUGACUCUCCGUUUCAACUUAUCUCAAAAGUGAGGACCUCAACCUAUAUACCAGUUUUUAAAUUGUGUUGAUAGGCCAAAUAAAACCAGAGUUAUGAUAAAUUAUGUCCGCGAUACUUUUUUUCUGCUUAUUUUGAUCACGUUCGGCGCUCGAUCGCGCUGUAUGAGACAGGAAAACAUAGCAUGCAGACAUUAGCGACAGGUCUUACAGGCGGAAAAGGCUUGCCAAAAGAAAAAAAAAACACACCACAAUAUCUCUCCUAUUGGUGGAAAACUUCACCACAACAACCAAUCCAAAAUUAUAUGGUGACUGAUUGACAAGGGGCAGGCGCUUACGUUCUUCCUGCAACAUGAGAAGCGAGGGAGGGACUCUCAGCAGGGAUGCAGUCUGGGACACGUAGUUGCAAACCUAGCGACUUUGUUGUUAGAUUCAAUGACUUUUCAGACCCCCUAACGACUUUUUAGAAAGAAAGGGACUUUUAUCGACUUCUUCUGGAGUUUAGAGACUCUGACAUGAAGCAGGCUUUCCUUACUGAGGAGUUAGCAACGCUGCUAAGGGUGCAGAGCCACACAUGCGCUCAGAGCUCUGCAUGGGAGACUGAAGCUGACAGAGCUGCAGCAGUUAGCAGGUUUCACCCUCAGAGACCACCAGGGGUUCAUGUUGAGGCAUUUUAAAUUUUUUUUUUUUUGUGCCAUAGACACUGUCAGCACAAUCUGCAGUUACACUGACAAAAAUGCUGCAAAAAACAAAGAAUUGUGGAAAAAUUAAACAUGGACUGACAUAGAGGAUGAUCUACACAAGUUUUUUACAUCAUGUUUUACAUCAUGCAUCAUUUACAUCAUGUUUUUUUGUAGUGGCAUAAAUAAAAAGUGACAUUUGUGAGACUAUACAGUGUUUUGUAAAUAAUUUUACAAAGAACGCCUGGGCCAUUGCCUGCAUUUUGAUGUAAAUAGAGGUAAAUCACUAUGUUCUUUGUUAAAAAUUUGCAUAUGUUUUGAAGUUUACAAUUUUUAUUUGAAGUUUAAGUUUUAAAAACAGUUCAUCACACAUAUUUGUGGUUUUCACAGUAAAAAUGUUACUUUUUUCCACUCUGAUUUUAUGUUUUGUGUGUGAAUUUGGGUCCAUUGUGUAAAUUCAGUAUGUCAACAUGAUAAAAUAACUGUAAAUUCGCACAGGUGAGGUUGUGCUGAAAAAAAUGAUACCAGGCAAGGCACGUGAUUGUCAAAUUUUGUGUCAAUAUGACAAAGCGUAUAGGCGUGAAUCUCAACAAUAUGUAUUUUCACCUUAAGGGACAAGAAAAAAUGGACUUUUUUCUCCUGCCAUGGGGGGGCGCUCUUUUGGGGAGUAAAAAUUCCUUCACAAAUGUGUUGAUGGCUGGACAUUGCAUCAUCCUAGAAAACUUGGAGGCCAGUGAGGACAAAAAUAAAAAGUUAUAAGACUUUUAAAUAUGUGGAUUUUAGGGUUAUCUUUGGCGCCCCCUAGAACCUAAACCGUGGGGUGCAGCGUCAUGAUUUGAAUAACUUUUAAUGGCCAUGGGGUGUAGAUUGGCCUGAGCAAAUGUGGUGCCGGUGGAACGAAAGCCUUCGGAGGAGUUAGCGAAAUUCCAAUGUGUGCGGAUCGGCAAAAAAUGCAAAAUAACCCUUUAACCGUACAUUUGACAGAUACGCCCGCACUGACUUUUUUGUAGAUCUUAUUGAGAUACAUGUGUGUGUCAAUUUUUGUGUCAUUUUGACAAAGCGUACAGGCGUGACAGUCAAUAGUGUGAAUUUUCACCUUAGGGGACAAGAAAAAAUGGACUUUUUUCUCCUGCCAUGGGGGGGCGCUCUUUUGGGGAGUAAAAAUUCCUUCACAAAUGUGUUGAUGGCUGGACAUUGCAUCAUCCUAGAAAACUUGGAGGCCAGUGAGGGCAAAAAUAAAAAGUUAUAAGACUUUUAAAUAUGUGGAUCUUAGGGUUAUCUUUGGCGCCCCCUAGAACCUAAACCGUGGGGUGCAGCAUCAUGAUUUGAAUAACUUUUAAUGGCCAUGGGGUGUAGAUUGGCCUGAGCAAAUGUGGUGCCGGUGGAACGAAAGCCUUCGGAGGAGUUAGCGAAAUUCCAAUGUGUGCGUAUCGGCAAAUAAUGCGAAAUAACCCUUUAACCGUACAUUUGACAGAUACGCCCGCACUGACUUUUUUGUAGAUCUUAUUGAGAUACAUGUGUGUGUCAAUUUUUGUGUCAUUUUGACAAAGCGUACACGCGUGACAGUCAAUAGUGUGAAUUUUCACCUUAGGGGGCGCUAUGGAGCCAUUUUGCAUUUUCUUGUUUGGGCGACUUCGGAAUAUCAAAUUUUUCACCAGGCCCGGUCGUCCUGCCAAAUUUCAUGAGUUUUUGCCAGUGGGAAGUGGGCCAUUUUCCAGUUCAAAGGGGAGGAAAAAUAAUAAUAAUAACAAAAGAAGGAAACAUGCAGGAACAAGAGGGCUCUCGCAGCUGCUUAGCAGCUACGCUCGGGCCCUAAAUACCAACACUCAGUCGUUGAAUCUGCUGCAGAACAGAUUGAAGUGUCAUGUGGAGAGAGGAGAGAAUCUGUUCCCGUACAGGUGGUGAACAGAAGGUGAAGGCUGAGGGGAGGACAGGGUGGAGAGAAGGAGGUGAGGAGAGGAGGGGGAGAUGGGCUGUUACUCCCAUUACAUAAUGAAUGAGGUGAGAAGUCACAGAUUUGCUGUGGAGGAUUUAUUCAUUUUAUUCUGCUGUACAUUGGAGCACCUGAACUAAGCACUUUUUUACACACAAACCUAUCCUAAGACACAUGUGAGGACAGUGAAUUCAUUUACAUCUAUUAUAAAGAGGCCUUUAACAAACUUUACCUGAUACAUAAAGCUCAGUUUUUUAUACACAGGUGUCUGAACAGGGUUUUUUUUCCUCAUUCAUAUGCUUUUUUUUUCUUUCUUUCAUUUUUUGGGUACGUGCAGCUGCUGACAUUUUUCUGCAUGUGUAUUCGCGCACAUGCACUUUUGUCAGUACAAGCGACGAGCCAACAGGCAGCUCAAACAGUGACAGGUGACCACACUACAAAGAUAGAAAUGUCAAAUUGAAGUGGGUGAUUGGGGGGGUGGAUGAUGGUGGGGGUGAUGUCAGGAGAGGCGGUAGGAAAAAGCAGGAAGCCUGGAGUGAUGAACACAUCGCCGCAGCCCCUGUCACUUCUUAUUAGCGACCCGCACACACAAACACACUGGCUGUGAUUGUAAUUAAUUCAUAAUGAUGCUUUGGUAUGUGUGUCUACGCACAUAUGAGAGCCUUUAUCCAUGAGCCUGCAUGGAUGUAUAUUCCUGUUUGUGUGUGUGUUAGUACGUGACGGACAUGAGCAUCAUUGUAAAGACUGAGAGUUGACAGAAUCUGUGGUGGCAUGCUAGGGGUUAAACCAGCGGGAUGCUGCUUCGCACUCUAUGACACCAUUACCUCUGUGUACGUCCUGUCAGACUCAGCAUGAAGCAGUGAUUGCUGACUGACCAGGGCGACUGCUUUUACUCAGCUCUUAUGUGAAAGAGGCACUGUUUGUAAACCUGUUGAAUAUAUUAUUUAAAAAUAUACAUAUAUGUUUUUUUUUAACCCUAGAGCACUAUCGCUAAAAUUAGUAACACCAUCACUAUCGCCAGGUGAUUUUUACCCGAAAUAAUACACCCAAGAAAGAGUACAUGUCGUCAAAUAUCAAAAUAGGACAAUACAUGACAAAUUAAAGUAGCUUUCUUUCAUUUUUAACUGUGCAAUGUCCAAAGGGAGGAAAAAAAGUGCCAUGAGGGGACCAUAUAAAAUGCAGCAAAAUAACUGAAAUUAGGCAUUCAUGAACAAAAUAUGGCAGAUUUUGAGUGAGUAAAAAUGACCAGCUGACUAAGAUAUUUAUCACCUUGUGAAUUCCCUUGAAAAUCACUACUUUGUGAUAGUUAUUCAUAACCACUGCACUAAAUAAAGAUAGCAUGCAAAUUCGAGGACCACUCUUACUUUCUUUAUUCGCCUACAUGCAGCUGUCAGAUAAACUUAAACCUAUUUACCCUCUAUCACUAUUGUUGGGUGAAAAUCACCCGAACACGUGCAUGUCGGAAAAAGCAGGUUUUGGAUCAGGGAAACAAAUAUGCCUUUAAAGAUGUCAAAGGAAAUGCUGAAGCUACUCAGGGACCCAUGAUACUCAGACAAACGCAACAUAAUGAAAAUCAUGUAAACACGUUUGGUUGCGUCAAAAUCACCCGGCGAUAUUGUUCUAGGGUUAAGUGUUAUGCAAUUUAUUUGCAGGUAUUCGGGUGGAAACCGUACCUGUAGGUGCAGCAGGCGGAGCGUGUUGCUUCAGGACAUGGUCAGACAUAAAAGCCAGGAAGUCAGGUUUUAAUUAUAGAUCCAUGAGUAUGAAAGCUAACAGAAGGAGACAUAAGAAUACUUUUACAAUCUUGAGAAGUUCUCCCUACAUCAGUCAUUUAACCUUUAAUCUGAACCACAAGGUAAACGCUACUGCACACAAUUUGCCUAAACAAAACUCCCUCAUUGUGUGCAAGCAGAAAGGCUCAUGAACACAAUGUACAUGGAUGCCAAGAAUAAAUUCUUGUGAAAACACUUAAGCAACUCAAAGCAAGAAGUCAACCAGCUCAAGUGUCCUUGAAGAAGAGACUAAAUGGUUUUGAACUUUUCAUAAAAGGCAAAACUUUUUACUCGCAGUUGUCAUCAGUGCUUGCUUGUGUAUUUGAAGUUCAGGAAGCUCUUGGCGUUAAUGUGCAUCCAUAGAUGUGCUGAUUUCAACAUGUGGGCUGAAAAAUUUCCUUUGUGUUGCUUUUGUGUUGUAGUUUUUCAUGAGAGAGGAAUUGUCAAGGGACUGCAUUGUUUUUUCAGCUCUGCAGGCCUGGAAAGACUCCUCAAAGGAGUCACGCUAAAGGACUACUUUGAACAGCGUUAUUUUAAGUACUUGUAUGAUUAAUUUAGGCACAGAGCUGGUUCUUCAAAUCUACAGUUUUUGAAGACCAUAGAGUUUGUAUGGAAUGGACAGCAUCUGCCUCCUCGCUCGGUGAAGCCACCCCGAGAACAGCACCCUCUGGUGGCGGGCUGCAGUGUAGGUCAUAAAUUCCGCCUCCUCCAGCCAUCCUCAUGGGGCUGUGGACAAACUUUAGAAAUUUAUUACACAGAAUAUAAAUUUUCUCCUCCCUGUUUGUGAUGUUGACAUGUAGUUACUAUAAGACUGGUUUGUGCUCAAAUCUUCUUUUUUCUGUACAGCUCCAUUUUUAAAAGUUAUUAGGGGGUUCAUGUUUCCUAUGAUUGACAGUUGAUACAGCCAAUGGGUAUAUGAAGAUUGUGUAGCUCACCCAGGGAUAUGCAGUUUGAACCGGGCGUCAUCACAGCGACUCUCAGUGACUCCCGCCAAAUGUUUACAAUGUUGGUUUCAGGAAAUGAAGAAAAAUCCCAUAAUUACUAAGAGCUUUUCGGCUUCAAAUCCGUGUACUGGCGAAAGGCGGAAUGAAGUUGUCCAUAGUAUAUACAUGCUAUGAUGAAGACGUACAGUGAAGCUCAAAACUCAACGUCUGAUGCAUGCGAAGGUGACAUGCCUUUCAUAAACAAUUUAUUAUCCGAGAUAAGUGUGUCGCUCUGUAACAAAACAAAACCUCUGUGUCAGAUCCAGGUCUGCCCAGAAACCUGCAGGUGGUGCUUCACGAGUUAGGCCCACUAAUCUGAGAGCGGGCUCUGACCCAGGUCUCACUGAGUGGGAACCACCCUGACCAUCUGUGGGUCUCCACACUCUCCUGGCACCUUACCCUACACACACACUCACACAAGAAGUGUAUUACUGAAGACAUGGCAAAAGACAAGUGGAAAGGUGGUAGAGCGAUGAGAGGAUAAGAUAAAAGCUCGGAGGAGAAUUUGAGCUCAUGUGAGAAAAAGAAAAAUGAAAAAAGAGGAGAAAAGUGACACUUUCUGUGUGUUUCUGCUGUCACUUAAGAAGAAGGUCAUUGUUUUAUACAUCUGCUUAACAACAUCGAUGACACAAACCUGCUUUCAAAACUAUUUUCUGGCUCUUUCUCUUCCUCUGGCAGGGAGCUGAUGGUCUGGAA
Molecule: long non-coding RNA, 66109 nt
Filed under: Xyrichtys novacula (pearly razorfish)
Lineage: Eukaryota; Metazoa; Chordata; Actinopteri; Labriformes; Labridae
Source: RNAcentral